GAUAUUUGCCUGCCUUGAAGGCAAAUGAAUCAACUCCUCCAUCAAUGGUUGGGCACUGGUUAGCUGUUCCAGUUCCCUUAACUUCAAGGUAUGUCUUGCUCUGAAUUUCAUCAAAGGUGAGUCUCUUUGGUACUCCUUCAGCACCAGCUCCCUGGAAAUACAUGAAAAGUAUCGAACAAUUAAGAUGCUCACCAAGUUGUAGGAUUACACUUUGUAUAUAUCAAGUGUUAAUCAGUCUAGACAUUCUUAGAUCUCAUAUAUCAAGUGUACUCAGACUAAUUAAGUCCUUGAAGUGAGAUUUUCUUUAACGCUUUAAAACUUUAAAGUCUGUAUCUAAUAUUUAAGUCAUUUAAGACUUACCGUAACACACUAACCAUAUAUCAUCAGUGGACUAUGUGGUGGACUGAUUUUCAAAUAAUCCUUGAUUGAAUAGUAUAAUGAAAAUGUUAUGGGAUCAUUAAUGUAAAAAUGAAUUACAAGUUAAAUUAAGAACAACAGGUACUUUAUUAAGUCACAGAGAAUCAAAUGGAUUAUUCCACUUGGAUCUAAGUAGUUUGAUCCUUUAUUUGGCAAGAAAUUGCCACUAAGUUAAACAAAUUCGGAGAUUAUCAAUUACCCAUUCUAAGUCUGAACUAUAAUUAUUUUCUCCAAGAACUCAAUUCAAUAUCAGCAACUAAAACAAUACAGACAUUCACAUCCAAACGCAAAUAUAAAGCAUCGUGGAGAAUCAUAAGAAGAAAGUAAUCGUGGAAGGAAAGUACGAUAAGAACAUACCGAAACGACAAGAGCGGAAGUGGCAAGAGCGAAGCCGGCAAUCUUAGCAGCAUCGGCAAACUUGCGAGAAACGUCUUUGAGAUCGGAGUGAAGAGAGCAGGUGAGUCUAGGUCCGGAAGAUUCAAGGCCAAAGGCUUUAGAAAGGGAUUGAGAAGAUCUGAGGUGAGAGGUGGUAGUUCUUGAAGCCAACUUGGAGGGUUGCAUAAGGGUAGCCGCGGCCGCCUGAACUGAAGCCGCCAUUGUUGUAUCCGGAUUGAGUGUAAGAGAGGAGAAGUGAAAUUUUGUGCGGGGAAUGAUACUGAAACUAUAACGGAGAGUAGAGAGGAUUUAGGAAAUGAAUUAUGUGGUUUUGGUUAGAGUAAGAUAAUGAAUUGGAUAAGAAAAAUCUCAUUGGAUGAUUCCCUCAUCAUUCUUUGCCUCAAUUUUCUUCCACGUGGCAUACAAACUCAUUUUCUACUUGGAUAUACUUUUUAAUUCCUUUUUUGCCUUCAAAUAUUUUAAUCAUAAAUAACAUUUCAGCUUUCAUAUUUUAAAUCUUUUUAUGAACAUUCAAAUUUCAAUUCUGAGUCCAAUCAAUUGUCCACCUACUCAAUUUUGUUAUUUAUUUUAGAAAAAUCACAAUUCUCCUAUGCUCAACUCUAUUGAUGCUAGCUAUAAUAAAAUUACAUAUCAAUGAUGAUCUAAAGUUACAACACAAGUGCUGGUAAAUUUUCAAUUAGAUCAAAUAGGUUAAACUAAUGAAUAAGGAUUAAAUUUAAUAAACUAAUAUUAUAUAGCAUUCUAAAACUCUUUUCGAUCAGUGAAUUUGCUUUAAAACCACGUCAUUCUGAUACCAUGUUUAUUAAUUAACUCAAAAACUUAAAUCGAUGAGUGAAACUAAAUUUAAUGUAUUACUAGCUUUAUCAAGUUGGGUUUUUGUUGCACUUAUCAAAGAAAAAAGAAGUUACAAAAUCUUUUACUUCAGUUUUACAAAGGUAGAGAUGCAAAAAUGAAGAAAUGGGAAGGGAGAGAGCUGUAUAGAGAGCUAGAAGAAACGAGCAACCAUGGCCCAAACAGGGAACACAAGGAGGAGGAUGAUUCCAAUGGUAUUGGAAAUUCCAUGAGUUUGAGUAAGAGAGUUUCUGAAGCCACCAGAUGCACGAAUGUGCUCUUGGAGAAGGUAACAUCCAAUUAUCAAACAUAUCACUACCCCAGCCCAGUGGUCUCUCAAUGUAUGUGCAAAGAACCCUGGUGUUGCCACUAGAAGCAGAAUCAAUGACCCUGGAAUCUCCAACCAAUCUGCAAAAACCAACUUCAAUUCAUUUUUUUUUGUUGUAACGAACUAUUGAAGAUAUGACCGAGUUAAGUAUAGCUCAACUGCCUGUGACAUAUCACUCACAUUGACCAAGAUCAGCAGUGCUUCAAAUUUGAAAAUGUGUUUCUGUAAGUUAAUGUCUCGUUUGGUUAAUAGUUUUUAAAAAUUAAAGCUAUUUUCACCCAUAACUUUCAUACUGGUUUGCAUCUUUUUAAAGUAAAAGAGUUAAUUCUUAGUCAAAUUUUAAAAACAAUUUUUCUUUUUUUUUUUUUUACUUUUCAAAACUUGGCUUGAUUUUUAAAAACAUUGGUACAAAGUAGAAAGUAAAUGUUUAGAAAGAGAACGAGUGUUUAUAGGCUUAAUCUUAAAAAAGAAAAGAAAAAAAACCAAAUGAUUAUCAAACAUGAUCUCUUAGAUCAUAAUAGGAGAGAUUACAAGUCAAAAGAGGCAAAAUGAUCAAAAGUUUAGAGGGAGGAAAAACAUUUUUAAACCUGAAGCUUUUUCUUGCAUUAUUAUGUCAAGUAUCAAAGCCACGUUCUCUAUCAAGCACUCGCUACGCCGAGUUUAAAUAAUUCAUCAUGUCACCUCAACAAAUACAAGGUUGUACUGAUUGACAAAUGCCUUUUUGUAGUUAAUGAUUGAAAUGUAUUAUAAAUUCAAAACAACCUUUCAUCAUACACAGCGACAGGAUACCGAUCGACAAGAAAAGUGGUGAAAAAGUAAACAAAUAACCAUGGUGCUUACCUGGGAAAUGUCGCGGAAAGAAGAGCCUCAAUACCACUGCAACGAAGGCAAUCCAUUUCCCAGCAUCCCCUCUUAAGAAAAUCAAGAAUAAACACAAUAUUAGUUAACAUUGAAAUACCUUUGGAUAAAGCUUAAAAAUUAAACCAACAAGGAACACAGAGUGAGUAUCACCUCAGUAAGUUAAAAAUCCCUUGAGGAAGACUGAAGAAAAUGUAAGGGACAAGAAGUGAAGUAAGCAUAUUUGUUCUCCAGUUCGUACGAUCCAAAAUCAACAGGUAACUGCAUAAUGAUGUUAAAUUUUAGAAUGUCAGAAACAAAACAAAAGCCCUUAUAUUAGAAAUAAAGCACCCACAUGGCAGCAAAGGAAGCAAGCCAUUUAAAAAAGGAAGUGCCAAGACCCUUUCCACCGAGCUUGGUGGCAUGUUCAAGAAGCCUAGUGGCUGCAAUUUUAAGCUCAUGGAUAUCAGAAUUAAUCAACUCCUCCAUUAGAGGAUCACUAUUGAGAGCCAAAUACGCCAUCCUCCCCAUUUUUGCUUCUGGGUCUACAAGGAAACGAAAAAUGAGAAAGCUUUGGGAAACAAGAGCCUGUGCGGCAUUUAUACAAACACCUGGAAUGCAUUUUUAUAGUUCAAAAAAUCGAGAAGAACUAGGUAAUAGGAAAAUGUAACGGGGAUUGGUCAGGCUCCUUGUUUUCAGCAGAGUUAGUGUUAGAGAAUGAAAAAAAAAAGGGUAUGAAGUUUCGGAUCAGAUUAGUUUUGCGUUUGACUGUCUCACCCAAAUUCUCAGCUUACUUGGUCCAUCUCCUAUCCUAUAUUCAUAUCCUUACUUCUAAUUUUUCCUUUUCAUUGGCCAUUUAAUUCUCCAUGAGCUCUAUCUUUAGUAUUUCAUGCAUUUAAUUCUUUCCCUCAUCUUCAAAAAGUGUAAUAAGUUUUAAUUUGCGUGUAAUCUCUAUCUGAUUUAUGAACUUCAAAAGGUAUCUUCAGUCUUCAUCAAAUUCUUACUAUCUCAUAUUUUUCAAAAUUUACAUAUCUUAAUUUUCACGUCUUAUUAGACUUUAUAUUCUUUUUUUAUAUCUAAUCAAUCUAUUAAUUUUAAAAUUUAAAAAUAUGACUUAAGCCAAAGUCUAGUUUUCUUUUCCACAAUUUUAUUUUCACUUUUCUCGUAUUAGUUCUUUUAUUAAAAAAAAUGGAUAAUUUGUUUCUUUUAUUUUAGAUAAUAAUCGAGUGUUUUUUUUUUCAAAUAACAAACAUACAUGAAUAUAGAAUCAAAGUAGAAGUAAUAAUUGAAUCCACUAUUAUUCAAGAUAAUAAAAUACUUAAAAGAAAUAAUUGAUAUUAUAUCUUAUACAAAUGCAUCUAAUACAUCCCUCGUUUGGUUUGGUUCGGUUCCGUUUCUUGAACCAAUAAUUUUCAGUUUUCUUUAAAUACUAUUCAAUAUGUCCAAUUUUACAUAAAAAAGUAGAACCAAAUCAAUGAGUUAGUUUUCAAAAUUUUGGUCGAUUUUUGUUGCACCCUUACUUUUAAGUUUAAUUUUUCUCGUCUCUAAAUUUCUAAAUGUUGUAUUCUUACUUAAUUUUAUUUUUUUAAAAAAAAACCUCUGUCUAUUAAAGAAUCUAACAUUAAAAUUAAUUAAAAAUGGUUUAACCAAAACUUAAACCUUACUUAAAAGUGUGGUUUUUUCCCUUUGCGAAAAAAGGUAUAGUAUUUAAGCCAACAAUUUGUUGAUCUUUGAUUUAAAUGGCUAUUUAUUGUUCAUAUAUAUAUUUAUUAUUAAAUGGAAAUUAUAAAAUAUGAUCCUCAUUAUUAACCUAUGUGAUACGAUUUCUUAAGAGAUGACAUAAAAGAAUACAAUAUAUGUGAAAUUAAAUUAAUUACAUCUUCCAAAAAAAGUAAAUCAAUUAAUUAUUAUAUUGAGGUAGUUGUAUUAGGGUUUGAGUUGAGUGAAAUUCACUCCUUCAUAAACAAUUCUGACUACAUUUACUAUUAUGAUUCACUACUCCAAUCAAUAUCCUAAUUCAAUUAUCAACUCCAAUACUUUUCUUUAUCAAAAUGUAUAAUACUCUUUGUCUUUUUUUCAAAAAAAACAAAUAUUAUAUUUAUAAUGGUUUCAAGAUAAUAUAUUAUUUAGAAACUUUUUUUAAUAGAAAGAUCAAAAACUAAUUCAUAAGUUAUAAACAAGAAAAUUACUUCUAACAUUAUAUAGUGAUAAAUACUAAUUUUUACUACUAACGUGAGUGUGUCGUUAUUUUUUAAUUCUACUUUUAAAAAUAGAUUGACAAUUUUUCUAUCUUGUGAAAAUUUCUUUAUUAUUUAUGUUAUUGAGGUUUGUUUCAUUCUUCUUUUUAUAUUUUUGAAUUUCAAACUUCAAAUUUUAGCGGUAUGCUUUCAAUGAAUCUUUAAAUUAGUCCACACAUAUAGUUAGUUUAUAGAUUUUUUUUUUCAAAACAAAAUGGUAUCUACUAACAUUUUCUUUAUAAUUUAUAAAAACAUAUUCGCAUAUUAUUUUUUCACGAACAUUAUUAUUAUUAUUAUUUAACCAAUUACGAUAAAAAUAACUCUAAAUGAUAAAAUGUAAGCUUUGUUGCAGAGUAUGUUAACAGUUCUCAUAUUAAUUAUUUUGACAUCAUUGGAGAAGAGAAUAAAACUGUUUGAGAUGAGAGAGUAAACAUUCUUAAUAACUAAAAAGAAACUAAAAGAAUAGAGGGGAAGAAUUCAAAAUACAGAAAGCAAAUUGGAUAUAAUUUUGAGGAUUGUAGGUAGAAGGUAAGUAUGAAGCCUUUAAGCUUUAGAACAUGAAAGGAUGGAAUAAAAUGUGUAUAAAAAUGAAGAAGAAACAAAAAGGCAAAGAAAAAAGAAAAGAUGAAAAGAAACAUAAUGAUGAAGAGGAGGGUAGAAGAAACAAGAAGGGGUAGAAAGUUGAUAGGCUUUGUUUGACUCAAAAUGCUUAAUCAUUAACCAAAAUAAAAUUAAAAAUACAUAUUUAUUUACUUACUUUAGGGAGAGAGGAAUGAAUGAAUGUAAGAAUGCAUGCAAUUCAAUUAUUAGAGCCUCUAUUUCAUGAUUUGCUUUUUACACCUAAAUUUGAAUCUCUUCUUCAAAAGUCGCGCCGCCUUUAAAGACCUUUCUCUACAUUCCUUUACAUAUUACAUAUCACUACCAACUCUUCCUAACCAUUUUAGUUUCAUUUCUUUUAACAUUCUUCUCCUUCCUUUACUUACUACAUACAUACAUAUAUAUAUAUAUUAAUCUAGAUGUCAAUGGAUGGAUGAUUGAUGGUUUAUAUAAAGCUUUACCCAAGUUCAAAAGUCAAUUAAUAAUCACCAAGGCCAACAACUUUUACUAAUGAACUACCACCUUUUCUUUCAACUGUACUUUUUUUUAAAAGGAAAAUAAUUGUAAUCAUAUUUCCCACUAAAACAAUCAAUUGAAAUAUUAAAAGUACUAUUUGCUUUAAAAUUUAAGUACCAAAUCCAACCGGGCAUGAAAGGAUGAAACUUGACUACCUUGUUUCAAAUUGAUAAUGAUAUCAUUUAAUUUUGAUCCUAUUAUUUAUGAUUCUUCAAUAUUAGAAUCUAAACAAAAAUAGGGGAUAAUUGAUUGCAAAUUGCAAUGUGCAAUUAAUUAAGAACUAAUUGAUUCACAAAUAAAAAUGAGAGAGGCCACACGUAUCUCAUUCGUCCGUUUCAUACUAACUUAAAUUAACCUACACUACCCAUUGCUCGAAAAGGCGUGCCACAAUCAAAACGGUGCGUGGUAGCAGCAACAAUUUGAUUUUACCCAAAUCACAAAAUUUGUAAAAUUACAACUCCCAAAUUUCUUUUAACCCCAAAAAGAAGAAAGAAAGAAAGAAAAGGAAAGAAAGGGAAAGGGAAAGGGUUUAGGGUAAGGGUAAGGGUAAGGGUAAGGGAGGAAGUAAGCCUGCGUGGCAUCCACUGUUAACUUCCGUACAAUGAGCAAUUGGACCCACUCAAGCACAGAGGAAAGCUGACCUGUUAUCGUUUCUAUGGCUGAUGAUGGUGGUGGUGCUGGUGCUGGUGCUGGUGGUUUCGUCCUCUUCGGCCAUCCAGGACCGCUGAUUCAUGUGAAUCACAUACCUGGGUUUUGAACUUACAUCCCAACCGUCUGAUCAACGACGCUCGCCAUCUUCCUCCAUUACCUUGUGGGCUCCCGGCCUUAUCGAUCUUCUCGAUCACUUUCUUCAUCGUUGAGCACUCUCUUUCAAGCUGAUGCACCCGCGUCCUCAUACUAUCCAUAUCUAACCGAAGCAUCUGAUUCUCUCUCACCGUCUCUCUCCACGUGCCAUUCUCGUGCACUAUUGCUCCCGCCGGGAUUUCCUCCUCCUCCUCCUCCAAUUCCUCUCCCACUCCCCGUUCCACAUCCUCCGUUUCACGACGGGAUACGCCUGAGAAUCUUCCGGUAUCCGCCGGUACUGUCUCCGCAGCCAUGAGUGUUCCAGCGAUGGCGUGACGGAGCUGCAGCUGUUCGAAGAACAACACCUGCACUACUGCUCGGAGUGGAAGACGGUCGUUCUGAGCAGCGUGAGUGCAUGCCUCUAGUGUCAGCUUUUGGCAGUCCAUUACUCCACAUAUCUUCUCGCGUUCUGCUUCGGAGAUCCAUGGAUGGGCCUAUCAAAAAGGAUUUUCAAAAUUAAUUUACUAAUGACGAAUUGCAGAGUGAAAAUUAGGAGAUUGUUUUUUGCGAACCUUGAGGUACACAUCGACGGCUCGGUAAACACCGUCAUCGAAGAGUCUAGCCUGUUCAGGGAGAGAAAUUGCGAGGUUGUAGAAUCUUUCCGCCUUCAGAUUGCCGUCUGAGGCAAUCUCCGCGAGAUAUCCAUCUAUCAACUUACCGACGAGCAUUAACGCUGGCGAUCUGGUACCAUCAUCCUCGACUACAGCUUGAUUAACUUCAGCUACCUCUGCAUUUUUCUCUUCGAGUCCCUCUAAGAAGUAAGAUAAGAUCCUCUCUGCACAAUCAACGUCAUAUAAGGUCUCGUUCAGAUACGAAUAGCUCGGAAUUAGAAGAUCGUCCAGUGUUGCUUGUUCCAGUUGCGAUCCUAUUUUCUUCUCUAAAGCAGCUUUGCAAACUUCCGAAGCAUUCAAUAUAUUGGCCGUCCGCAGUAGUCCGAAGAGGAACCUUGUUGCGGUUGGAGUUUUUGAGCUUUUCUCCAAUGGAAGAUUACUGAUUAUGGUCUCUAACAACUCCUUUUGAUCAGUCUCCGUAGGCAUACUAGAGGAAGAGGCAGAUGGUAACGAUGGCUUCCGGUUGGACCUGGAUAUACCUGGAAUAUAUUUCUUAGCGUAGUUCAUUAAACAGCUCUCAAUAAUCUCCGAGCUCACAUCUCGAUCUCUCAUGGAGAAAAUUAACCGCUUAAACAGAGGCAGACUGAGCUGGGCGAGAUCCUCAAACCAUGACCCUCCCUUGCUUCCUCUACCACCGCUCUUCUUUCGCCCUCCAGUUUCAAUUCCGUUCCAAAGCAUCUGCUUCGAUUGAUCUUGAGCGCUAUUGGCUCCAUCGCUGACUGGCCAUCCAAACAAAGCUGGAUCGGCGGAUGGCGCUUUCGAAGCGAUCGAAUCGAUACAUCUCUGCGUAAUGCUUAAGGUCUCGGCCAGAGGCAUUACAGGCUCACAAGAUUUCAGCGUUUUAAUUGAUUCUUUGAUGCUUCUGAGUACAGUUUGGGAGAGAUAUUUUUCGGUUUUUGAGAUUAGGUUUUCUACGCUGUACUCUUCCGUCAUUUCCAGAAACUCUCCGGCGCAGCGGAGAGGAGCGACAUUGGAAGAGUUGAGGUCGAUCUUCACGCCGUAGCAGAAUUUAGAUGCCAUUUCGAAAAUAUCAGAACCGCCGGGGAAAUCAGAGAGCACUAUAUGGCAGUGAUCUUCCUCACCUUCAUCAUCUUCUUCUUCGUCUUCGUCUUCUUCUUCCUGUUGCUCUGCUUCAGCGGUUUUAUUUUGAUUCUCUCUGGUAGGAGUAGAGCAAUUUGCUUCUUGCUCGGUUAUCAAAUUGUGAAGCUUCCGGCUCUUUGACAUUAGAGGAAACUGAAAAUUUACAAACUAUUAGCCCAUAACUCAAGAGGAACAAUCCGACACAACCAAAUCAACCAAGGACAGAAAAGUAGUAGUCAAACAAAAUUAGCAACAAGAUUCAGGAGGCGACCUUAUGGAGAUGGAAAGCCAUAUCCUCCACUUCGAUGACAAUGUCGCUCGGUAAACCAGUGGUGCAGAACCUGUGAAAACAAAACCCAGAAAAGAAGUGUUGACAUGAGAGCUUAAACCAAAGGUCUAAAAAUGGGGAAGACAUAAUAACUCAGAACUCACCAAGCUUGCCUUUUGGAGCUGGGGUUCUCUGCAGGUGCAGCUUGUAUUUCAGUAGCCAUUUUCUGUACACUGCCACACCUCGAAGAAGAAUCAGUCCCUGAAACUAGAAACCCAGAUACAUUUGUUGCACAGAAAUCUGUGGGGGGGUUUGUUUAGAAGAUAAACACAAAGAAACAAACGAACAAAUGGAAAGAAGUGAGAUCCUUUUAGGAGUGUUUUAGUAUGGGUGAAAUGGACUUGACUUAGGAUCAAGGAAGAAGAAGAUAAAAAGAAAAACAAGGAGUGAUGGGGGGCAGAAAAAUGUUUGGUUGUGCUUUAGCUGCUUGCGAUUUCCUUUCUUCAGAAGAAUAAAUCUGACAAUGGGGGGAGGAGCAUCAUCAAAAGGCGAAGAAUGCUCAAUGGGAAUUAAAAAGGGUAAUUAAAAAAAGAAAGAAAGAAAGAAAAACUCUUUUCUUCUCAGAUCCGACAAAUGGGGUUUCAACAAAAUUUCUUUUUUCUUCGUUGCUCUCUUGGUCUACGAAUCAGGUCAGAAUCUCACCCACUCCAAUUUUUAAAAACUUCCAUCAAAUUAAAUUCAUUCAAUUCUUUUCUUUCUUUCUUCAUCCUCAAAUAAUCUGAAUUUUGGAUAUUUUCUAACUUCUUUCUAUUCUCAUAAAAAAAAAAAAAAAAAAAAAAGAGUUUCUUGCUUUGCUAGGACCCUAAUUUCCAGACCGUCGGUUACAUUUUAUUUUGUUUUUUAAUCAUUUCAGCUUUGUUGUUUAUUUAUUUAUUAACACAAAAGUUUUAGUUUCUAUAUUUCAAAUAGAAUAUCCCUAUAUUAUUACCCAUUCUUUUCUUUUCUUUCUUUAUUUAUUAGUACAUAUGAAUUAUAUUUUUGGAGAAGCAUAUAAUAUGCUUAGCAUAUGAUUUUACAAAACAUUUACUAUUCAAAAAUUGUACGUAGUUUACAUUCAAGCUCCUAAUAUUUAGUAAUUAACUAUACUUUCAUUUUUUGGUUUAGAAAUACAUCAUUUAACACAAAUUAAGAAACAUAAAUACAACUCUAUUUUAUCUUAGUUUUUAGAUUAUAUACCGAGAAGAAAACUCUUGAAUUAUUUAUAAAUUUAAUUUUGUUUUAGUUAUUAAUACAUACUUUAGCUAAGCUAUUCAUAAAUUGGUUACUUUCAUAAUUUAUGACAUUAUAAAUUGUACUUUUAAAAAAUAUAAAUUAGAACUGUUUCUUCAAAAGUGAGUGAGGAGUAAUUACUUAGAAUACCAAAAAAAGAAACUCUUUUAUUUCCAUUAAACCAAAUUGUCAUUAACUUUUCGUAAUGACUGGAUCUAAUAAAAUCUUAUUAGAAAGUUUCUUACCCAAAAUUUCAUUAUAUUAUAAUUAUUAAAAAGAUUCCAUUCUUCAAUUUCAGAAGAAGAAUUUACAUUUGGGAGAAAAAGAUCAAGCUUGGAUUCUGAGGUUCGUUUACUUGUAAAUUGCAAUCUUAUCUCUUUCGUCUAUUUUUGUGAAAAUUAAAUUUUAUCAGAGUAUGAUAUAAACUUUAGACACCACCAUCUCCAAUACUACUAAAUGCAUUGAGUUGAGUUAGAAUUAGAUAGGUAAAAAAUUAUAUUUAAAACAUUAACAUAUAUAUAAACAUAGCAAAUAUAGGAAAGUUCUCAUAGAAUUGACAAGUUUUGCUAUAUUAUCCACCUACUCUGCCUGUGCCGCUUCAACAAGCUCAAUCUUUGUUUUAUAAAAUGAGAUGGGAGUUUGGGUGAAUGAUCUCUCCUCCUCCUCCUGAUACGUUGUUCUAUAGAAAAGGGAAUUAGAUAGCUUUUUUCUAAAAUAGGUUUGAUAAGUAAAGAAAAAUGGAUAAAGAAUCUUUGGGACAGCUCGUAUGAGUUAUGAAUGGGCCUAAAGUGUAAGGGUGACCUCAGCAGGAGGGAAUUACUCAUAAUAAUGGCAAGCCUACCCAAAUAAGAUGAGAUGAGACCUUAGGGCAAUUCACCAAUAUAAUGGGAAUGGGAAUGAUGUGGGGUCAUCCAUAUGUAUUUUGUGAACCCUUUAUGUAUCCAAAUAUUUUGGAUUUCAAUCUCAUUUUCUCUCCCAAAAAUACUUUCUUCUACUUUUUAAUUUUUCAUUAUAAGUUACAAAAUAGAGAGAUUAUGUUAUUUGUUGAGAUAUAAAAAAGAAAAUUAGACCAAUAAUGGAGGUGUAAUGUAUUGGUAAGCAAUGAUGUGGAUGUUAGAGAAAAUGAAAAGAAAGGCGCAUGGGGGUAUUAAUUACUAUGUUGAUUAAGGGGGCAUAUGUAUUAUUAUUAAUCAUAAAAUAGUAGAAACCAUAUGGGAAAUACAUAAUUAUGCAAUGAUUUCAACUUUAACAUUAUAAAAUUGUAAAGAAGAUUAGAUUAUAUUUUGGUAGACAGACAAACCCCACUUACUUCUAAAAGUGAAUCUUUUCCCUUAAUUAUUUUCCCUUUAUUUUGGGGUUGGAAAAUCUUGAUUCAAUUAAAAUAUGUAUAUACAAAAAAGAAAGAAGAUUGCAGGAAUGGUAAGAAGGGAAUGAAGUAAUAAUUGAAACACAUGGUUUGGAUUUUGGAUAUGAAAUUAUAAUAAGUCUCUAAGAUGAGAAGGAAGACAAACAAAGACAAUGUAAUGCCAAAUCUUUUUUUUUUUUUAGUUAAGAAUAAUCUAGUAGGUUUUUCUAGGUUUGUCUUUCACCCCCCAUGUUAAUCUUCAAUCUAAUUAUUUGUUUAAGGGAAUAAUCAACUUAUAUUAUCAAAUUAUAAAUGUUUUUCUCUACUUAUUAAUUAACAUAAUUAUAUUUGCCUAAUUAACCAUGCUAUUUUGAAUUUAUGUACUAAGUAGAUAGGACAAUGAAUUUUAAGAUAUCUCGAAUAUUUUUAUGCAUUUUACUUCUUCUUUUAACUAAAAUCGUAAAGAUGAGAUCAAGCCUUAAAUCUCAUGUUUUUAACAACAUUGGUUCACAAGUGUUCUAAUUUAUUUAAAAGGGUUUAUUAAUUUAUUACUUAAAGUUUUGUAUUCCUUAUUUUUAUGAAUAAUUUGAUAGAAUUGAAAGUUGGAAUGUUGAGUGGUAAAUAAGUAUCCUAACUCCGACGUUAGUGGUAAUUUAAAAAUGUGAAGUGGGCAAAGCACUUUUGAAAACAGGAGGAGGGGGAAAGGAAACGUAAACGUCCAAAGAGGCACAAACCCCCAAGAAAUUCAGGUAAGUUAUGGCCAUUGAGGGGCACAAAAUCCACAAAAAUACACAUUCUUUCAUUACUUUAAUUUAUUUAUUUAUUCAUACAAACCCACACUCAUUUACUUUAUUUAUUUCAUACCUAAGAAUUAACCACGUAGCUCAACAUAUAUAAUCUUAUAUUUCAUAUUCAAAAUGCUUUAAUUUCAAAUAUACAUAUAAAUAUUAUUAUUGUUGUUGUUGAUAAGCUUUGCUUUAACUGAAAUACCUCCUUUUCUUUUUGGUAUCGACUUUUGAUAUAUAUAUAAAAAAAAAGAUUUAGAAAUGAGAGGAGAGAUUAAUGAAGAGUAUAUAGAUAUGGAUGAAAAAGUGUAUUUUGUUGGUAGUUUCUAGGAAUGUAUGAGGCAAAUUAAACAAAGUUUAAUGGAUUAUUUGAAGUAAUGUGAUAGAGAUAAAAGGGGGCAGGGCAUUAAAGUGAAGGGGCAGUGCACCCCCAUCUAUAGAUGUUGGGGAGGGUGUUGCCCACAUACAUCUUAAGGGCUUUUUGUGGGUUGCUACUUGCUGGAUUAACUGACCACAUGGCUCCCAAGAAACUCUCUCCAUAUUCUUUGCUGCCUUUGCUUGCAAUCCACAGCUCAACAUUAUACACCAACAACACAUACAUUAUUAUUGAAUUUUAAAAUAAAACAAGAAUAGUUUUAAGUUAAUUCGAUGAUCAUUUUUGUUUCCGAGUUCUUAAGAAUUUGUGCAUUUAUUUCUAAACCUCACAAAAGUGGGUCAAUAAUAUAAUAUUUUGUGUUUUUUUUUUUUAUAAAAAAAAGUUUUUAUUAAUUAUGAACAAACACACCCCAACCCACAAUACCCACAGUCACCCACAUUUUCAAUCCCAACCCCCACCUUCAUCUUUAGCCCAGCCCACAUCUCUUCUCAAGAAUGGUUUAUCAAAUUGUUGGAAGCUCUGCACAAGUGAUUGUCAAGAGUCUCAAUAAUCCUAUUUCUCUCAGUAUCCUUCUAUUAUGGUCGAUUUGGAUGCCAAAGAGGUGAUGAACUGCUUCUCACCCUUUAUUGAGUUAAAUAAUACAUUAAAUAAGAUUAAAUAUAUGUAAAACUAGGUAUUGUUGUCAUUAGUGAGUGUAUUAUAAGUUUCUUGUCAUGCCUAAACCAAUUAUCUCAAUUGAACCAAAUUGGACUCAUUUUUUUCUUCUUUUCAGAUGUUUAAUUGUGAAUUUGUUUGCUCAUAAGGUUAACUUUUGGGUAAUGAAUUAACUAAGCAAACUGCCUAAUCCAAAGUGAAAAAGUCGAAUGAAAAGAUUUGAAUGACUAAACUUAUCUCGUUAUGAACUCCCAAAACGUCAUUCCCUCACAUUUGUAAUUCUCCAAUGGCUCGCUUUGCUCCUUCAAAUUCCAUCGCUCUCCACCGAAUUCCUCUCUGUUUUCGUAUCCCUCACCCUCUCCUUCAACCCUCCGCCGCCCGCUUUCCAUCUUCCCCCCGCCGAUUUCCUCCAUUAGCCUGCCAAACGCUUCCCGAAUCGCACGACACCACCUCCGCUCCGGUAUGCUUCAAUCUCUUCUCUUCUUAUUGUUUUUGCUUAAUUUUCUUCAAUUAUUGAGUCAACCAUAUUAGCCCUAAUUCCCUGAAAUCGAAACCAAUUCAAUUUUAUUCUCGCUUUCAGGAAAAAUCGUCGAACGGUCCUGAAUCACCCGGUGACACCACUGGCCAAGCCGCUAGCUCUUCAAGUAAUCAGGGUUUUCCUGAGUUUCCCAAUAAAGAUAUCAAUAGACGAGUUGCUAUAGUUUCCACGGUUUCAGCACUGGCACUUUUCUCGUCAAGUCGAUUGGAUUUUGGUGUUUCUUUGAAGGACUUAGCUGCUGCGGCUUUGCCUUAUGAAGAGGUUUGGAAAUUUGGAAUCUAAUAGUUCUAGCAAUCUCUUUGUUUUACAUGAUUAUGAUUUCACAUUCUUCAAGUAAUUAGAGCUCAUGAUGAAGAUUCAUAUGAUGAUUCAGGCUCUUUCAAAUGGGAAGCCCACUGUUGUGGAGUUCUAUGCAGAUUGGUGUGAAGUUUGUAGGGAAUUGGCUCCAGAUGUAUACAAAGUUGAGCAACAGUUCAAGUAAUACUUUAUGGAAAUGCUUGUUUACAAGAAUUUUUUGUUGUUUGAAUUUAAGGAAGGUAAAUAGAUCUUUGUUCUUCCAGGGACCGUGUGAAUUUUGUAAUGCUUAAUGUUGAUAAUACAAAGUGGGAGCAGGAGCUUGAUGAGUUUGGUGUUGAGGGUAUUCCACAUUUUGCUUUUUUAGACAAACAGGGGAAUGAAGAGGGCAAUGUAGUUGGUCGACUUCCAAGACAAUAUCUGCUGGAGAAUGUAGACGCUCUUGCUCGUGGAGAAGCAUCGAUACCUCAUGCUCGUGUUGUGGGACAAUUUUCAAGUGCUGAAGCAAGGAAAGUGCACCAAGUUUCUGAUCCAAGAAGUCAUGGGUAGAUUCUCUUCCUUUCUUUGAAGCAUUAGGUCAACAAGUUGCCAAUUCAAAUACUCUUUGAUAGGUAUUCCAGAUAUAGUUAGUCCAUCUUAUACCAUAUAUCCAAUUGUUUAUUGUACUAUGGACAUAACUUCUUCUCUUGAUAGUAAAUAAGUCUUUAUUUCUUCUCUUGAUUGUAAAUAUCUGCUUUUUUAUGUUAACUACUGGUGGGUUUAAUGAUUAAAAGAACAAGUAACCAGGUUGAAUCCUUCAUAUUUUUGUGGUGUUCUGCAAUCUUUAUUUACUCAAUUAUGAUAAUCUCAUUACUUUUACUUUUGUACAUGUUUUGGAAAAAUGAAACAAGUAAUACAAGAAUUGUAAUCGAUCAGAUAAGCCGAUCCCAUGGCUUGGAUCUGAACUUCAUGUGAAGAAAAUGUCCUAUCGCUUGGCAUGUGGCAUUCCCUUAAGACGAGUGAAGAAUGCUUCACAUUUUUUGGAAAAUGGCAUUGGCAUCUACAAUUCUAUCAAUAAGGAGGUUAAAAACAAUGAUGACACAAUAUAAGAUAUUCCGUAGGGUACACAAAUAAUGGUGAAAUGUAAAAGGUUAAAUGUCCUACAAAAGAUCUUCCUCUUCUUCUUCUUCUUCUCUUUUCACCGUGCUACAUUACCCAAUAAACUAUUUGUUGAAGGGGAGCUUUGUUCACUUAACCAAGGAUCCUGUAUUGAAACUGGGGAGCUAUCCAUAACCUCCUCCACAGGAGGUAGAUAGUCCUUAUUAUGGUUGUUCUCCGGCGGGAUUAUCAAUCUCUGGCUUCCCAAUCCUGCAAGCAGCCCGGCCUUCUUAAUUGUUAUGCCACUUAUGGAUCUCUCGCUUAUGCUACGAGGAGAUGAACAAGCUGAUCCUGCAGAUGAUGCUCCACAAAAAUGCUCCUCCAUUGAUGUCCAUCCACUGCGUCUGAUGCUUUCCAAUUCCUCUGCUACUUCUGUCAUUGAAGGUCUCAUGUCGCUGUGGAAAGCAAGGCAUCUGAAUGCAAGCUCAGCCACCUUGUGAAUAGAGUAGAGGGUCCAAGCAUCUCUAUGUGGCUCGAGGAAAGGAUCAAUUAGUUCAUCCACAGAGUUUCUCCCAAUCCUAUCAAUGGCAAGUGCAGCUAAGUUUACUUCACUUUGGGGACGAGUGAAAUCAACCACUUUCAAUGCUGUUAUUAUCUCUACUAGGACUACUCCAAAACUAUAUACGUCACUUUUGUCUGAAAGAUAAAAAUUUUGAUGGUAUUGUGGAUCAACGUAGCCUGGGGUUCCUUGGGGAGCUGUUGAGACGUGCGAUAUUUCUGUCAUACCAAGUCGAGAGAGACCAAAAUCUGCAACUUUUGAUUUGAAACCAUGAUCCAGGAGUAUAUUGCUCGAUUUGAUGUCUCUGUGAUAUAUUGGUGGGUGCACAGAAGAAUGAAGGUAUGCUAUUGCACGAGAAGUCUCGGCUGCUAUAGUGAGCCGUGUUGUCCACGGGAGUCCAUUUCCACGCUCUCUCUGGAGAUGUUGAGAGAGAGUUCCAUUGGGCAUAAACUCGUAUACAAGGAUCUGUUGGCCCUCCUCGAUGCAGCAGCCAAGUAAGCGGACCAGAUUUGGGUGGCUCACCGAGGAAAGGAGUUUUAUCUCAUUCAUAACCUGGUCAAUGCUGUUGUGGUCUCUGUAUUUGAUCCUUUUUACAGCAACCCACUCAUCCUCGUGAAGCCUUCCGGCAUAGACUGUACCAAAGGCUCCAGUUCCCAGACGUUGUUUCUCAGAGAAGCCAUUAGUGGCUCUUUCUAUUUCUUUGUAGGGGUAUAAAGUAACACUGGAAUUUCCGGCAGCCUCACUUAGAAGCCGCUUUGCACUCAUCUGACCUUUCAGACACAUUGAGCGGCGUCGGAUGCAGUAACAGAUAAGGGUCAAGACAGCCAUUAGAAACGCCCCUACAAUGACACCUGAGAUUAUAACUGUGUUAGGUUAGAACCAUAGUUAGCCAAUUGACGUGUUCCUUCAUAAUAAAUCCUUAUCAAUUGAUGGACACCAUAUUAUUUACAUUUAAAUGAAAUACGGUCCAGUUACCUGCAAUUAGUGCAGCGACUUUGCUUUCGCCACCACAUCGUCCAGUUAUGUAUGUUGGAGGGUUGCAUUUGUGAGAAACUGUAGUAAUUGCCAAGGAGCCCAGCAUAACAAAUUAAUAAAAUAAGCAACAGACAUAAGCAGCUUGACAAAUAAUGAAUUGAACACAAAAGUGAACAAUGCUUUAUGUUCGAACACUUGCAAUAUUCAAGUAUUUGAUUCUCUGUUUCAAAAGAAAAAAAUUGUUCAUUUAUUGACUGUCCUGGAAAAUUAAUUAGAACAAGAGCAACGGAUAGGGAAAUAUAUAAUGAAUAGACGCCAUGGCAUGUUAUGACAACUGGAGAACGUCCCAAAAAAAAAAAAAAGAAAAGUCUUACACUCCUAGUCGUAACUGUACCGCUGCUUGUGGUAGAGAAAUGACUCAAAGCUCUCUCUCUCUCUCACCCCCACAAGGUCUAAACACCUCAAUGACUUCGCAGUUUUACUCUAAAACAAUGUUCCAUGGUAUCUAUCUCUCUUUGACUUGUAAAAUUAUCAGAAGCCUAGAGAGUAGGAACCUCGUUUUAAAACUCUAAGUUGGCAACAUUUAUGGCGCAUAUUAUGAGCUAUAGUUAUAAACAACCCAAAUUAAAAUCCAUUGAUGUUGCGUUCUCUCUUUGACCAAUUCUAGAUCAUUCAGACACUUUGAAAAAUUAGCAUCACACUUCUCUUCCUCUCUCCCUCUCUCCCUCCCUUUAAUAUUAUUAUUAUGGGCACAUGGCAUUCGGUUUUCACACCUAAAUGAAUUUUCUGACUUUUCACACUCAAGUCAUAUCCACCUCAAGAACCAAUAUGACAUAUAGCCAAACUUUCAGAAAUGUACAGAAUUGACUUUCCCAUUAACCAACAUUAUUUUAAAGACGUCUCAAAAUGAAAAAGACAUUUUAAAAAUUCUAAACUGAAUAGGAAAAAAUUGUAAUUUUGAAAUAUUUAAUCCAACAAGCUCCCCCCCCCCCCCCCCCCAAAAAAAAAAAAAAAAAAAAAACAGAGAGAGAGAAAGAAAAAAGGGAAAAAGCCGAACGAACAGCCUUUGAUUAUUUUUUCUACCCAUUUGGAACUAUUUAAUCUUUCGGAAAUAUAUAGAAAAAAAAGUCCUAUUUCUAAUUUUAGCAAGGUUUUACAGAAUUUAACCACCAUUUUUGCCACCGUCGGACAAAUCAAAUGUAGACGGGGAAGCAAGCAAAUGGUUAAUUAGCCUUUCCCCUCGACAAGAAUGAGCAUCAUUGACUAGAAAGGACAAGGUGUCGACCUCUAAUUGGCUAACAUGUGCCGUUUCUUGUCGUGUAGUUUCCCCAUUUAUCCUUGGAGAUAGGUAUAUUAGGCUACCCACUAAAAAAUUAGAAAUAAACAGCAACCCAAUGCGUUGAAUAUUCAAAUUACUCAUAUUUAAUAUCUAUUUUAAAUAAAAAUAAAUUGAAUGUAGCCACCGAAUUGACUCAACGACUAACCUCUCCGGCAGCCGCCGCCGUCGUUGUCAUAAGCAUUUCCUUCAAACCCUUCUUCGCACUGGCAACGAAAUCCUAGGUUCUCCGUCGAGCUGGUAAUGUUCUCACGAUUGGCAUUUUUUGAGCAUUGUGCGACAGACGAAGGAGAGACCCACCACUCUAACUCAAUGACCCCAAACUCGACCUCGAACUGAGUGGUCGAAUUUGACGUAAAAUUAACGAAUACAGAGGACAAAAGGGAGUGGCACUUAUUUAAAGGAGGCAGAAAUCCAUUUUGCUCGGUCUUGGUGAAACAGCUCAUAUUAUUACUCUUAAGGCCGCAGUCCGUCGGCUGAUUCAGGGUGAAAUUCCCCAUGACUCCGCAUGGAAGUGGUUGUUCGGUACAAUUCAAGAAGAGACUGUUGCGGAGGGUGGGCUUGUAGUUUUUGCUGGACAGUUCUGAGAGUGAAUUGAUAGGGAUAUUGCACCCUGUAGGAAGUUUGAUGAUGAUACUUCUUUCAUUAAUGUUCUGAACCUGGAAUCUGCCGAUUUGAAUCUCGCCAUUUUUGCUGCAACCCAAUUUGAUUGGUUUCACGUCUGUGAAUCCAAACGGAUGGCGUACAAAUUGAGCCGAAUUACCGGUUUCGCAGGACGUUAAACCCUCGGCGAUUGUUAAAAAAGCCGAGAAAAUUGUGAUUACAACGAUCAAGCAGUUUCGAUGCAAAGUCAUAGUUGACUGCAGCUUACUCCAACUGAACAAACAACAAAAAGAAUCAUCCCCUCCCUCCCUGCAAAAGAAAAUUUAUCUUCAAAACUAAGCCAAAUAAAAAUCUAAUGCCUAUUCACCAAUACGAUCAGCAGAAUUUGAAAAGAAGAAAAAAACAAUAGAAUUUCAGAAAGGUUUUCAAAUGCGAACAAAUCAACCAGUCCGAUUUCUGUCAACAAGUUUCGUAAAUAACCUAGAAAUUUCAAAAACUCUGAAAUUAAAUGAAGAAUUUAAAGCAGGACUGCGAUGCCGUUGGGAGGCCAUCCAUCCUAAUAAAUACUCUUGAGAUGGAAGCAAAUAUCAUAUAUCAUAUUCAUAUAGACGAAAAAGAAGGAACAAUUUCUACGGUCAUAGCAUUAAUGAAUUGAAACCUCCACCUCUGACCUCGCUCUUCAAUGGCAGUAAAUGCUCUGUUGAUCACACUUGUAAGCUGGUGAGAGAAGAGGUGGACACGAUCAUUGAAGUCGAUUUCAGAGGAAAAUUAAAAGAUUAGGUUUCAAUCAAAGAAAAAAUUGAUCCCUAAAAAUGUUGUAAAGAACAACCCGAAUCGCUAGGCUUUGUUGAUUUUGAUGGAAAAUGGAAAGGGAAAGCUGAGAAAAAGAAAGAAGGAACCGUGAAAUUGAGACAGAGAGAGAGCUUCCUCUUCUUCUUAUUCUACUUUUGAACGUCUUGACGAUUUUUUUUUCAUUUUAUAAUAUGACCAAUCUACCCUUUAUCAUUUUAAUACACUCUCUCCCCACUCAACCCACCUCAAUUACCAAAAUACCCCCUCAUCUUUUUCAACAUUUAUUCCUUAUUAUUAAUUUAUUUUCCUAUUACAUCAUUUAUUUUCUUUCUUCAUAUAUAUAUAUGUGUGUGUGUGUGUAUGUCAUCCAUUUUCGUGUGGCAGUUAAAUCUACUACCAGAAUCAUUUAAAUGCCAAACAGUUUCAAAAUCAUAUACCUAAUCAAUUGAACAUAGUCCUAAUAAGGUUAUGACGAGGUUUUACUACACGAUUUGUUUUUUUAUUAACACGAUAUUAACAUAUUAGAGGAAUUUUAAAAUCUAAGUGACUAUAGACACAAAUCCAAAGAGGUUUUGUUUAUGAAAAACACAUUUAGAUUAGUAGUUUAUUUUGUAAUCACGUCAUAAUACCCAUCUCACGGAUGUUCAUCUAAUUUUGAAUGCCUUCUUGCAAAAAAAAAAUUAUAAAAUAAAGUUUGUAAUUUAAAAUGAAAUAGUAGUCUUUUAUAGUUAAUCCUUUCAUUAACUAACAACUGAUUUAAAACGAAGAAUGUUUGUUUAUUGUACAUUUCCAUAAUUACUAAAAACUUUAAAAAUAAGUUUUAAACUAACCAUAAUUUUCUUUUACCACAACAAUUCGAAGAUGAGAAACCAAACAAACUAUCAAGUUAGGUUGAUUUUAGCGUUUAAGCACGAUUAAACGAAUGAAAAUGACUUAAAUACAAAUAAUGGGGUGUGUGAGUUGUAAAGAAAAGUAUAGUAUAAAAAUUAAAAAGGAUAUUUAAGGCUAAAUGUGAAUGCAAAAUAAAUGAAGAAUGGAGUAAAAGUAAGGAAAUUUGGAGGAAAAAGGAGAGAAUAUUGUUACAGCAAAAUUAUAGCUUAUAAAGCCUCAUUUCAGUGUUAUCCACACGGAGGGAGACUUUGAUGUUUGUGGUUUUGAAAAGAAAAAAGAAAGGAUCAUUGUGGUUUUCCCUUUUCUCCCAUCUAAACAUACUUUUUCAACUUAUUCUCUCUCUAAAUUGUCAACAUAUAUUAAAUUUGGUUGUCCUUUCUUCUUUCAGAUAACGCAACAAAAAAAAAUUAAACCAUAUAAUAAAAAUCAACUUAAAAACUUAAGCUAAUUAGUAGGUGAAAGUAUAUAACAUGUUACCCAAAAUUUGGAUUGAGUUUUUAAAAUACCUUUAAAAGAUUAAUAAUAAAACUAAGGUUGGUGCAUAUGAGAAAAAGACUACACUAAUUGUUAGUUAGAAAUUAAGUUUAGGAAGAGAUUGGAUUUAAAUACUAUUUUGAUUAUGACCCAUUACAUACAUAUAUGUAUGUACACAAUCUAUUAAAAUGUACUUAUUUUUUUAAAAGAUUAUCUUAAUCCAACGGUCUAAAAUUUGGGAAAAAAAUAUUUCUUAAUAACUUAUUUUUAUUUAAACUGUUUUGAUAAAAGAAACUAUUAAAAUAUAUCUCAAAAAGCUUUUGAGCUUGCCAAGUAUUUUAAUUUUUUUAAAAGACUUCUAUUUUAAAAAAUCAACCGUUAAAAAAUGUAUAAAAUAUACCAACGCAACCUAUAGAUGUAAAUAAUUAAAAGACUAAAUUAUAAAAAGUGACCCUCAACUUUCAUGUUUAUGUAAAAAAUACCCACAUUCAAAAGUUUUAAAAAAUUCCUAAACUUUCAAAAAUACUCUUUCUGUUAGUUGUGGAAGAAAGGCCUUAAAACUAUUAAAGAGUUUCAUAAAUACUAAAAUUAUAAAAAAAAUUAAAACUAUUUCCAUUAAUUCAAUUUUACACCAAAUUUCUAAGUUUUCACGCUAAAAACCAAAAUUUUAGGUUACAACUAUAGUUUUAAAUUUCCAUGGAUGGAUGUUUUUAUUGAUAUUUUCACAUUUUCAUGGAUUCAAUAUUAAUAGAAAUGAUGAAUCAAUAUCAUCAUAAAAAUUCACCCAUCACAAAAAAUAAACCUGAAAGUAACACUACUAUAAACAUAAUAUAAAUAAUAAACAUGUUUACUUAUAUGAAAAUAAUAAAAUAUUUAUUUACUAAUUUAAAAUCCUUCUCUAAAUUGGUUGUUUUUAUAAUUUUCUAGAAAUAUCGUUGAAAUCAAAAUUUUAAUAAAAUUAACACUUCUAUAUAUUAGUAUAUAUCAAUCAACAUUGAUAUUUUAAACCUUGAUUAAAAUAUCAAAUUCUACAAAAUCUAACGUGUUUAAAAAAAUUCUCCUUAAAUCAUAUUAAAAUAAUGAUUAGUCAAAUAAAGCACGGAUAGAACUAUCAAACUAUCAGUAUGUGUUAAUAGUUAAAUACAAUUUUUUAUUUGACAAUUAGAUGUUUGUUAAUUACAAUAAUAACUAUUGAAAUGGAUUAGAUUUAUUAGUUUUGAUUUUAGUUGGUGAGAAAAUUGGGAUGAAAUUUAGAGUAUUUUGAAGAGUAAUUUAGGGUAAGAAAAAGUAGAUUCAAAAUAUAGGACGAAAAUGGAAUAUUGGAAAAGGUCAGCAACGGCAAAAGAGGAGCAGAUUUUUGGGUGGGAAUUGCAAAUUGCAAAUUGCAUGAAGUGAGAAAGUGGACGCGGAAACAAAAAUAUAUAGAAAGUCAGCGAGAAAAAUUAUAAAGAAAUUGACCAAUAAAUCCCAACAAACAGCCUUUUGUUUGUCCACAGCACCAUCACCUCUCACCUUUUCUUAUUCAUCCAUUAUUAUUAUUACUACUCAUCUUUGUGCUCAUUAUUGCUAAUCACCUUUUCUUCUUCUUCCUUUUAGAUUUUAUUAUUUGUUUUUGUUGAAGCAAUAUAGAAUUUUGAGGAAUAAAUAAUCUUCCAAAACUAUUUUGAGUAUACUUUACAUUAUAUAUUCAUAUUUAUGUAUUAUGUAAUGUCACAUUAAUAAACUAGUCACUAUAAUCAAUUUGGUCGACAUAACUAAUAUUUCUCUUUUGGAUAUUUAACUCUUCAACCUCAAUUUGGUACACAUAUGGAAGUGCUAGAAUGUCGCUUUUUUGCCUUUAGAAUAUGGUCCCAUGAGCCUUUGAAAAUUUUGUGGACGCUUUUGGGUGUUAAUAAUGGACUUCAUUUAUAGUAACUUUAAUCAUUGUCUAAAUUCUAAUUUAAUAAAAAAAAAUUAUUUAGUUUGAUUAUUGUCAACAAAAGUUUAGCUCAACUGACAUAUGUACGUAUUAAUAAUCGAGAUUCAAAUCUCUCCACUUCCGAUUAAUAAAAAAUGUUUGAUUAUUAUAAUUCUAAUAUAUGUUCAAACCACACCAUUGUUAUAUUAGUUAAGAGAAAAAAAAUCAUUGGGGGCAUUGUCGUUACAAGUAGUGAGAGAGAAAAAAAACCUAUAAUAUAGUUCUUAUAUAUAUCUAAAUUUUUCUUGCCCCUUAUUUUUAUGAUAAUGUAAUAAAGUGUGAAUCUUGUUCUUUUCUUUAAUAAUUAAAAAAAAGGAUAUAUAUAUAUAUAUAUAUAUAUAUAUAUAUAUGUAUAUGUAUUUGAUUACAUAAAAUUUAAAUCUUGAUUAGUGGGGGAAAAAAUAGAAUGUUAUAUUUGUUGAAAGUUGUCAUUUGAGAGUCUCAUUCAUAUAUUGCAUUUUCUUAUUUUGAAAUAAUUAAGUGUCUGAUUACUAAUCUUUAAUCAAAACGGGUAUUGGUAAUAAGUUUUUGAUAUAUCAAUCAUAAUAGACGAUCUUAAUUGUAAAGUGCAAUUGAAUUGCUUUCGAUCAUGCCUAUUGAUGCAUUUUUGUAAACAUAAUUUAGUUACUAUAUAUUGAUAUUAUUUAUUUUGUCUUUAUUUGGUAUCAUGUCUUCUUACUAUUAUCGUACGUGAAUUAUUACCGUUUAUGAUGAAUUGGUAACAAUGUUUGUAACAAUAACUGUAAUUGUAAUAGAUUUAUAAUUCUCAUACCAUAGUAGCAACAAUAACUAUAACAGUAAAAGUUUAAAACUGUAUAAAUGCAUGUGAAAAAAGUUAAAAAAGAUUAAAGAAUCUCAUGUAGUUUUCAAAUGCAAUUAGAUUGAUCACUUUUAUCUUUGUAUUUAGAUUGUAUUUGAUGAUCAGAGUAUCCCUCAUUAAUGAAAUAUAUGAUAAACAACCAUAAACAUGAUCAAACCAAUUAUAUUUUGGUUAGACUAAUGGAUUAUGUUUUUAGAGGAAAUAAUAAACAUGAGUUAGAUGAUUUAAUACUUAGAUGAGAAGGAAGGGUUAAGUGAAAGGGUUAAAUGUAAUUUUGUGAAGAGUAAUUAUUAGGGAAGAACGCAUAGAUAAGAUAAAAGGGAGAAGAGGAGGUAGAGAGAGUCGUCCCCAUGCAAACCACGGCGAGGAUAACAUCUGGAUCGUGGAGGUGGAAGUCUUCCGCCGUGUUUGUGAAGCGGAAACUCCGAAUGGACAAAAGUACCCCCAGAGCCAAAAUUAUUGACCGGAAUAUUCCUGAUUUAUGACUUUGAUAUGCAUGAAGGAAAAGGAAAAGGAAAAGCAAAAGGAUAAGAAUGUUUGAACUCUCCACUUCAAUCCACAUCCAUAUAUCUAAACUACAAUUCAAACUUCAACUUCCUUUUCUUUUUUUCAACUUUACUGAGUUAUAUUUCUUUUUUUCUUUUUAAUUUUACAAAAAAAUUGAAUAAAAACCAAAUAUUUUAAGUAAAUAUAUAUUAGUUAUAGUUAUAGAGUGAACAAAGUCACUAUAGAUUUAUGAUAAUUGUAAAAUUUACCAAAAAUUCCAAGGUUUAAUUUCUAUAGUAUUAAUUAUCAUCUUUUCAUAUUUUAAAUUAAUUAAGGUGAGACAUAAUGGAACUAGUACAACAAAUUUCCCUAACCCAAGAUAUAUUGUAUUUAGUUUUUUGUAACUUAGCCUAACAUCAGCAUUCAUGAAAAUUUCUUCUAUUCAGUAAAUUAUUUUUUUAAUUUGACUAAUAUCUUGUAUGUAAUAUAUUUUAAUAAUAAGCACACACAUAACCAACCCAAAAAUUAAUGGAUUAGAUGUGGUUUUCUUACCUAAUAAUAAAAAAGGGAUAAAUUAUGAUUUUUUUCUUUUAAUAUAUCUCUUUUUAGUAAUAAGUUAAAGGAAUAAAAAUUCAACCUUAUCAAAAAAGGACGUGAUGAAUUUGUGUCCAUAUAAGACAAUGUUAAUCACCGUUACCUAUUCUUUGAAGGUAACGUUUUUUGUGUCUAAGAAGUCGUGUGUUAGAUUAGGUUGACUUAGGCUCUCUUAGCUAAACCAAUUCAUAUAGCUUUGUUUUCGUAUUCUAAAAAAAAAUAAUUUAAAGUUAAGAUAAUUAAGAAAAUGAAUAAAAUUAUAUUUAAAAGAAAACUGGGAAUUAAAAGCCACAAUAAUCGUUGGUGAGCUUUUUUUUUUUUUUUCCUUUUCUCUUUGGGUGAAGGACACCCAAAAGCUUUAUAAUUAUUUGUAUCGUUACCCCGUUCUCUAAUAAUUUAAAUUAAAUAUUUUUCACAUUUUUCUUAUUCAUCUAUAAUAUUUUCUUUACAAAAAAAAAUGGAAUGAAAAUAGUUUCAUUUUUUUAAACAAUAUAUGGGGUGGACGAAUUGAAACUCAAAUUUUCAAAUUGACAAUACAAAAAUUUCAAAUUGAUAAUAUAAAUAAACACUAUGCGAUCAUGAGGUGGCCAUGAGACUAACUUCAGAAGUUUCAUAUUAAUUGACAUAUAGGCGUGUAGGUUUCGAAUUUUUUUUUUAGGGUUUUAUUUUUUAAAGAGAAAUUAGUGAAUGAAUAUAUAACAAAAAUCCAUUAUAAAAUGCAUGCAUGGAUAUAGAUCAUAUAAUAGGAUAAAAACAAACCCUAGUAUUUUACACUAUUAGGUAGAAACUUUUGAAUUACAUGCCAUAACUUAAUUUUGGAAUUAGGUUAUAGUCAAAUUUUGGAAGUUGCAUGACACACCAAUAUUGGCAUUUUUUUAUGUUCAUAUAGUAUCAUAAAGCCAAUCCCACGACUCUUCCUCUCUCCCUUCUUCAUUAAUUCAUGUCGUUUUUUGAGCAUCUUUGAAAGCAUGAGUUGAUACAACCUCUCACGCUUGCUUCUCAUCAGCAAUAUAUAUAUAUAUAUAUAUAUAACAAAAAUUUUGAAAGAACUAGAAGCUAAAUCAAGCUCAAAAUUUUAAAACUAAAAGUGUAACGUUUUGGAACUCCUAGGAAUCAAAUAGAGACUAUACCACCAUUAUUUGUUUUAAUAAAAUACUAGAAGUUUAGGGAUAAGAGAUAGGAGACAACGUGAAUUUGUUGGACUUCGAAUCAUAAUACAUAUAUGAGUUCCUGUUCUUUGAGAUGAUAAUAUUGCUAACGGACUUACUAGGCACACCAGUGUAUCUCAACCAGCUGGUUGACAAACAUAACACAAUUCCUCGAUAAAAAAAUUAAUGUGAUAAUUUUUCUGUAAAAAACUUAAAUAUACUUUUUUUAUUAGGUUAAAAGAACUGGACGCAUAAAAUUAGGUGCAACCUUAGUUUCCCAAAACAAUAAAUAAAUUAUAUAUAUAUAUAUAUAUAUAUAUAUAUAUAUAUAUAUAUAUAUAUAUAUAUAUAUGUUUAUUUAUUUAUUUAUGAUUGUAUCGAUACAACACACUUAUUCAAAUUAAGAUUAACUUUUCGUCUAGCAAUUGUAAGGUGGAUAGAUAUUAAAUAUUUAAAACUUUCAAAAAGAUAAUUGGUGCCUUAGAAGUAUUUUCGAAUUAACGAAAUAAAGUUUAUUUGUGAGAUUAUUAAUCAUUAAUCACCAAUUCCACUGCAAACACACACACUUAAUCUAUAGUAAAGAAAAAAUUGUGACAAAACAUUUCAUUCUCGCAUAGCAUAAAUUAAAAAGAGAAACAAUGAUGUUUUUUAUUGUUCAUAAUCAACUACAUUUGAGAGCAUGAAGCUACGUUCACAUCAAAAUAAAACAUGUGUUUAAAUAUGAAAUAAUAGGCUUUUAAGGCAAUGCUUUUAAUUUUCACCCAAGAUUUUUUAUUACUCAUAUAUGGUAUGUAUAUCUUGAAAAGUCAAUCAUGGUUCCUUUCUCCUCUCACCAUACUUCAUCUUCCUUUUUUUAGCAUCACUACUUCAUGCACGUUUGAUAACAUCCUUUAUAACAACUCUCUGCUUUGUCUAGGUCUGUCAAUUUCAUAAAGAAGAAAAAAAUAAUUAAAAAAUAAAAGAUAAUCAGUCAUCAAAACUAGAGAAAAUUAUUAACGAAAGGGAAAAACCUUUAGUAUAUGAAUACUGCUACUAAACUCUCGUUGAUUGUGAGUUAUUGAUGAAAAUUUUGUAUAUGAAUACUACUCUAAUUAAAUGUUAGUCAUGACUAGGAUAACCUCUAAUGACAUUUCAAGCUCAAUGCAUGUCAGCAAACAAUGUCUUCCAAACGAAUUAUCCUCAUUAUAAAAAUGUUUGCCAAUACACUACCACUAGUGCUUAAAAUACAAAAGAAAUAUCAAAAUAACACCAAUGAACCUGCUAAAAGCUUUUUUUUUUUUUUUUGAUAUAUUACAUUUGUAUAUGAAUUAAAUUUGGUUUGAUUUGAAUCCAUUUAAAAUUGACCACUCUUAAUCUAAACCACAAAUCGGAUUGAGGAUGAAACAAUAUUUGUGGCGAUACUAUCGAAAAACGAACUACUCACGAUGACACACUCCCACACUUCCCUUGAUCACCUCACUUUUUUUUUUUUGGCAUUUUUUGACUAAUUUAACUUCCUUUUAUGGCUUAAAAUGUGUGAAUUCAUGUUAAAGCCCUACGAACGUGGAAGAUCUCAUUUGUAGUUUACAAAAUUGUCAUUACACAAACUUACUUAAACAUAUCCUUAAAUUAUAUCUUUCACAUUUUCAAUGGAUUUUUUUAGUUGUAAAUAUAACAAAUAGAAACAUAUAUACAGACCUAGACCUAGACCACGUCAAUUAAUAGGAGUAUACUUUGUUAUAUUUAUUUUUCAUAAUUUUACUAUAUGCUUAAAUCAGUAAAACUAGAAGUGAUCUCUAUUGCAAUUGUUUGUUUAUUUAUUUUUCAGUAGAACAUGAUCCUUUACUUAAUUAGCCGAGUUAUUAUUCGAUAUAAAGAAUUUUGUUAGUAUAAAACACAUAGCUCAACUGACAUCUGAUAUGUGUUAGCAAUCAUGACAUUUAUGACUUGAAUCACUGCACCAACAUCAUAUUCUCUCCAAUUACUAAUUUAAUAUCAAAUCAAUUAAUAUAAAAAAGAGAAAGUUGAUGUCACAAUUAGUAUAAAAAGAUAUUAUAUUCGAUCAAGGACUCGUGACCUUGAAUAGGCUUUAUAUUUUGGAGUAAGUUGAGAAUCACCCACAUUGAAAAUAUAUUUUGUUAAAGAAAUCAACAAUGAACUAUAGAAUUACAAAAACCGUAUGAAGAAAUCGAUGUACAUAUCUAUCUGUGGUUUACUAACAGUGUCUUAGCUACAUCUACGAGAUAGAGAAAACACAUGUUUUAGAGAGAAUCUUUUCUUAGCACAAAUUAAAUGGCGCCUCUAUACUUUGUUGUUUGUAGCACCACAUGUAACAAAUUCAACGCAUUUUAUCAAUUUGUAUAUGUUUCAAUUACUUUACUUUCACAAACCAAUUGAUGUAUGGUAUGAAAAGCUAGUUCAUGUAGCUAUGAUCUAAUAUGAUGAUUAAGUUAGAAAUUAAGUAUCUUACCCCUUUCAACGUUUGUUCCUUUAUAUACAUUUUUCAAUUCUAUUAUAACUAAUAAUUUUCACUUGGUUGCGUUAUGAACAAUAUAAAAAAAUAUUUUAGUAUUUUAAUAUUUUAUUUUUUGUUUUACUUCAGAUUAGAAAAAAUAUCUUAAAAAAUUUAAAAAUAUAUUUAUCUCUUCUCCGAAAAAACACAAUCGUACCACAAACUUAUUAGUAGCGUAAGACAUUUAUAUAUGAAUUAAAUUUGGUUUGAUUUGAGAUCCAUUUAAAAUUAUAAGCUAAUAGGUUAAAAAGAAAUUUAGUUAUAAAUUUGUAUAAAUAUUUAAGGACACUCAUCAAUUUUCAUCCAAAAUGCUAAAAGGAUUUUUCUUCAAAGAUAGGUUUGAAAUAAAAAUGGAAACGAUAAUGUUGAAUUCUUUAUUUUUUUAAAAAAUAGGGAUUUUUUGUAUUUACAUGCCUUGUAUUUUCCUUUCGUUUUCUUGUGAGAUUUGACGUUUUUCGUAUUUGGGCUUUUGGUGGGCUGCUUGUUGUGGCCCAAAGACCACCAUUUCAUUCAAUCCUCUCCCUAUUAUUAUUAUUAUUAUUAGAGGACCAGAGGUUUAUAAAAAAUACAAAAAACGAUAUAUAUAUAUAAAAACAAAAUUUAUUAAUUUGUAAAUAUUUUGUCAUUCUUUUAUUUGACAAUUUUCCUUGUUAAUAUAUAUAAUAAAGGUCUUAAAAACAAAUUAAAUCUUUAAUAAAUUUUUAUCACUUUGAUGGUUAAAUCCAUGGUAUGUAAAAGGGCUACAUUUCUUGGUGAAGAAAUUGGUUCAAAAUGGAGAAAGACAACUUCUUUUCUUUUAGAAGGAAAAGAACUUUUAUUUGAAAUUUACAAUAAACACAUUUGAGAGGAUACCUUUUCAUUUAUUUCAUACACAAUCUCACCAACUUUUCUUCACUAUAAGGUUGUCUAAGUCUCUACUUUUACUUGGCUUCCAUAUGGAUCACACUUCCUAUUUAUAGGCAUUAAAUUGUUGGAGUUCAAGCAAACAUAUGAGAAAGGAUCCAAGUUUUGCUCUAUCUACAAAUUUGUUAUGGAUUGUGUUGUAUCUAAUAAUCUUUGGACUGAAUUGCUAUAUUAACCGACACCCCUUUUCCUUAAAACCACUUGUUGCAAUUCGCUUGCAAGCAAAUGCAUUCAACAUCAUUUCAUUUACAUCAAAGAAAUCACACCUAAAUUAGAAGAGAAUCGAGCUAUCACAAAAACCAUCUACGAUUCAGUUACCCAUAAAAACAUCAUGCUGUUGCAGCCACCAUUUCUCGCCCUCAUCCGCCAUCGCAUUUGCAACCUCCGAACCACCGUCCCCGCUACCGACAAGACUUUCCAAGGUCCUUUUCACUUUGUUCAAUCGCUUAUAGAAACGAAUGCGGCGAAGAACCACAUCUCUGUCCAUUUUGCCAGCAGAUUUCAAGAAAACAUGGCUCGAAACGCCGUCGUUCCGGCUGAGGUCCGAGUUCCGGGGAUUCUCAGUUUCUGGGAAAGACGUCGAAGCUUUGGAAAUCAUGAAAGCCAUUUUGGUUUUGUGGAAGAGAGAGGUAAUUGCAGAGAAUUGGAGGGAUUUUUAUAGAAUGAAAGAAAGUGGAGAUUUCAAUUUGAUUUAAUGGAUAUCGUUUUGUGUGUGAUGAAAAGCCAAAGGUUUAGUUUCCUGUGGGUUUUGAGCGCCCAAGGUUUUGCAAAAUCAGUGGGUCUUUGGUUAACAAACUCUUUUUCUUUUUGCUUCUCAAAAGCUUCCAUGUUUCAACGAAAGUUUCUACUUUUACUUAAAACUGGAUUGUUCUAUUCUUUUCCAUUUUUUCUCUCAGAACUUGACAAAGAAAGCCUUGGGAGUUUGUGAUAUCUAAAACCUUCACAAGAUAUUAGUUCGUCGAAUCAACAACUAAACAUGAUUGAUGAUAUUCGUGAGAAGAAUUAAUCAAAAGAAUUGCGAAACAUGUAAAGAUGGAGGAUAUUAGUCGUUGGAUUGUUGUUAAUGUUUACAAAUAGAAAUUCAAUCUAUAUUAGCAUUCACUUUUUUCUUGUAUAAAUAUUAUUGUUAAAUAAACUAAUUCUGAUGUAAUUUAAAAUUAAAAGACUAGUUUUAAGAUUCUAUUAAGAGCUUGUUAAUUAAAUUUGAACAAAUAAAAUAAUGAAAUUAAGAUUGAAAUUAAGAUAGAAAUGUAAUCUUAUCUCAUUAUUAAAGGAAGCGACUAAAACCAAUAAUAUUUGUAAAAAUAUUUUAGUUUUUAUAAAUGUUUAAAUUAGAGUUUAGAAUAAAAUGAAUAAAAGUCUAUCUACGAUGUGAUGUAGCAAAAUAGAUCACUAUCUAUUUCCAUUCAAUUUUUUUUGUAAAUGAGAAAGCAAUUAGGGGAGAGGGAGAAUUUUAGGGUUGAAUCAAAUUUGGAAGUAAUUAAUUUUAGGAAGAAACUAACGAGAGAAAAAUGAAUCAUAGUGAGUUGACUGAUUUGGUGAUCUCCAUGGAGUCAAACUUGAGGAUGACUAGAGGCAAAUUUGAAAAAAAAAAAAAGAAAAUUAGCUCCAUGCUUGAAUUUCGAAGCUAUACAAAAUUUGAAGUAUUUUUUUAUUUUUUUUGUAUAUAUAUUUAACGUUAGCAAAUUGAAAUUAAUAACAAUCGACAAUAUCUACUACAAGAAAACCUUCCUCUAGUCUACUCUACAAUCAAUGUGGUAAAGUUUCCUCCAUGAACGAGAGGAACUUUAUCCAGUCAUUCAUUUCUGAUAUACAUCCGUUGAAGCCAUAACUAAAAAUGGCCACAUCAACAAGGUUUCAUGAUAUAUUUCGAAAUUUGAUGUCAUGUCAAUCAACCUGUUUUGGAAAUUACCUUUAAGAUCUACACUACCUUUGACUUUUGAGAUAUCCUUCUCAACAUUUUAUCAUUGAGCAGCAGAUAAUCUGUUUUGAUCAUAAAGGAUAUACAGAGGACAGAUAUAGACCAGACACAAAAUUAUUCCUUGUCAUUGUUGUCAAGGAGAGUCAACAGAAAACCACUUACAAUCCGCCGUAGGAUAGGCCAAGGGAUACAACGGCACAACAUACCAUCAAGAUAUGCUAAAAUACCGUUCAGCAUAAACUUGCCAAUUCCCAUAGUCCAGAUGAACUUACAUUUGGGUUUCCUGUCAGUUGGAACUAAUGCAAGAUCGGUUUUUUCACUAUCAGAUUUCGAUUCUUUGUUCCGAGGAAUCCUGACUACAAUCUGCUUGACACCCUUUCUCAGUAUACGAAUAGCAAAACUUACUAAGAGAUGUUCACCGAGCGUUAGCAAUGUAGGUCCAAUCUUCCAUUCCUGAACGAUAGGUGCAGAAAACAUUGGUUAGUAAUUGGGUUUUAUCUUCAAAGUUAUAGCAGCCUAUAGCUUAAACUCUACCAUGGAAGUCUAGUCAUACAUUGGAAUACCCAGUUACAAGUUCAGAACCAAAAACAAAGCUAGAAAAUGUAACAGACAAGAAAGUGGACAGUUGAUAAGCUUACACUUUCACGUUGAAGAUCUUGAAAAGGGCGACUACUCAUUCCCGAAUCUCCUUUUAACAAUUCUUUGCUAACAAGAAAUUCUUCCACACGUCUCACGAUCUCAUCAGUCAGACGAGUGUUUGGAGGAAGAUUUUUUAGGGUAACCUGAAUGCACACACAAUAUUAUUUGAGUUCUGAAAGCUUAGUUAUGAGGGUUAUCAAAUUAAAAGAUUAUAGUGCAUCAGAAGAAUUUAUGGUCGGGGGCAGAAAUUUUCCAGUGAAUGAUUCCUUAGUCAUCAACAAAUAUAUAAAGAAAGAAUUUCUUGAUCAGCUCCCAGACAUACCUGAUUGUUAACGACUGUAACUCUAAGAUAUUCUUGUUUGUACAAUGUAUCCAGCAUAGCUUGCAGGUAUCCUUCAAUAUAUAACUGCAGCCAUAAAAAACAGGAAACCGUUGUUCAACUAUAAAUAAACCUAUUGAAAACAAUAAACACGAAAUCAAGGCUUAUGUGGAAACCUGAGAACCAGGAGAAAAACCACAUGCUUUUAGUUUUAUUAUUUUUCUGAAGAAUAAUACAAUAGGUACAAAGAGGGAGAAUAAAUAGAAUACAACAAAAAGGAAAAAAGGAAAAGAUUUAGGAAAUAGGAAAAAUCUUCCAUAUUCUUUCCAAAAAUACUCCAAGGGCCACUAAUUCUAACAAAACCAUAUUACCUAUUAAAUCCACAACCUGAAGAUAAAGAAGUUAUAUUUCUUCUUCUUUCCAACAUUACACUGCAAUGAUGUCAGUGUGAUGUAAUAUUUUAAUUAUACUAGUUUACUACCACGUGUUACAUAUGGUUUUCCUUUCUAUUUUGUUUUUUUUUUCCUCCGGUAAAUUAUACUUUGUUAGACUUCUGUAGAUGUCAAUAAUUACAAGAAAAUACAUUAAUCUUUUUGCAAAUAAUAUGUAUAUUUUCACCCGCGAACAUAAUUCAAUAUCUUGGACCAAAAGGUUAGACGGUUUAAAUCCUCACUCUGCAUGUAUUUACUUAACAAAAAGUUAUUUCAUUGUAAAAUUAUCCAUGAUUUUAUUUUAUUCUCGUUAUUAUUCUUUUCUUUUAUGUAUUGAGCCUUUAUCCUAUAUAAGGUUGCAUCUUAUAGUUUGAUUAUUGGAAUACAAAAUAUUCUAUUUCAUUCAGAUCUACCAUAACUAAUGGUACAAAUCAAUUCACUUAGUGAGUAAUUCAUGUAUUGAUAUAUUUAUAUUAUUGAGUUUAGUAAUGAAUAUACAAAGUAAAUAGCCAAGCUGGCUCAACCUUUGUGUACCUGACUGAUAUAUGAUACCAUAUAUAUGUGUGUGCGUGUGUGGAUGUGGUAUCAUAUAUAUGUAUGUAUGUAAACCUUUCGUGCUCCUCCCAGUUUAUCUGGUUGUUGGAAGUACCUUCAGUAAUUUUUUGUCUCCGCCGGGUUUAAGUUUUACAAUUUUACAUCUCAUUCUUUAGGAGAGUAAAAAUCCCUGGCAUCUCCUAUGACAUAUCGUGCUUUGGAAACACACUAGAAUAGUGGCUCUUUGAUCUCUGAUCCCAAUCUUUGGGAAGAAAAUUAAAGCUAACAAACCCAGGGAAACAGAAUGAAGGAAGAAGAAUCAGUUUGUAAGAGUUGUGAUUGAGGACGAGGAUAGAAUUGAGCAGGUUAUGAGGUUAACCAUUGAAAUUCUAAAGGCCCAAGGUUCAGCAUUGUCAAGUUCAAGAACAUUUUCUCUAUCCUCACAACCCAUAAAACAGGGGAUGGUACUGGCUUUCUUUUGGCAUGACAAAUGACAAGGACCAAGAUGCUUUAAGCAAAAAUUUCCAUGACAUUUUGCCUUAUCAAGUCAGCAAGAAAGUAGAACAUGUAAUCAGUUGAACAAAGAAGGAAGCGCAUGGGCCAUUUCCUUUAGGUGCCCAACCAGAGAGGGAUGCAGUGAGCUCCUUCACUACUCUCUUACAUACAAGACCAUCUUUCUUGGCUUUUGGACAAAGAUGACAUUUCUUUUGUUGGAUCCAUGGUGAAAUUUCUCUAGUCUAAUACGCAAUACUUGCUCACUCUCUUCUGAAGAAACUGUCAGGUUUUCCUUUGGUGAUUAUCACUGGGAGAGCAACGAAGCUGAUAAAUUACAAAGUGUAAUUUCAUCCAUAAUAUAACAGAGAACUAUAUAUCAUGUUUCAUGAGUGCACAAUGAAAAUAAAAAAGAUGUAAGGGUAUCGUGUGAUGAUUGAUUAUGCAAUUAAAGGGGAAAAUAAUCCAAAAACAUAUCUUGAGAAUUGAGCUAUUUUCUUUAAAAUAUAAAAGAACUACGAACUGUAUUCAAGGUCUGUAGUUGUAUGAGAUAUUACUAGCAUAGUCAACUUGAAGUCAUCCAUAUUGAUCACGAGCAAGGAAUACAACAUUGACUAGUACACCACACACUUACCUCAUCAACACCUGGGCUUUGAUCAAGUUUGAUAUGUCUCUGUGGGCCACCUUGCAUCAGUACACUCCCAAGUAUAGAUGGCUCCAUGGCUAUCUUUAGUAUUCCUUGGUGAAAUCCACUCACCUUCGAAAUUGCAGGAACAACCAAAGUUUUCAUUUUUUAUAUAUUAUUUCAGGUUAGGUGAAACGUAGAGAGGGAAAAAAACAAACAAACAAAAAAAGAAGAAAAGAAUAACUAAUGUACUUGAAUAGAAAGAUUAUCUACCAUUCCAUUAAAACCACUUGCUUCUGCUCCCUUGAGAACAGAGUCUGAAAUCUCAGUUAUAGCAGCAAACAUAACUUUUGAUCCAGCUGUACUGAACUGUAAAUCAGUUUAAAUCCCAUUAGAUUUUAUCAUUUAGGUGUAAUCAACAUGUAUGCCAAGAUUAUCAGACUCACAGUUUUCCCUAAAUCUCCAAGAUAGCGUUUGGUACCUGACCCACUUUUCACAUCAAUAAAUUUCUUGAUAAACUUCAAAGUCCCUGAUCUCAAUAGCCAAACAGCAAUUGAACAUUAACACACAGACCUCUAAACAUUGGUAGAAUCAGCUUCGAUCAUGAAUGCAACUAACAAUUGGAAAAAUUGAAAAAUGGUAGGUUCAAUUUGAAUUUGGCAAAAAAUUAUUUGCUUUACCUGGAAAACCCAUAAACCCAUUAGAGGGAUCAAAAAAGACAUCCAAGGAAGAUGAAGACAAAUCAUCAAAGAUGGAAAUAAAAUCUGGAGGGAGCAAUGAACUUCCUUUUGCGAUAUAGAUAGCCCUUAUGGCAUACCUGGAUCAUUAAAAUGUGACUUUAAUUUUAUUCAGCAUAUAAAAAAUAAAAUAUAACCAAACAAAGAUAAGUUCUGCUUACCAUGAAUAAUGUUGAGCACAUCUAAGAAAUAAUUCACGUACUGUGAUCAAAGCAUGACUAACUAGAACACCAUUGAGCUCAACAACCACAUUUUUCAUUUUAGGGAUCUACAAAGUAAGAACAAGGGCAAAAAUCAACAAAUUCUUGCAUGUAAUAGUAGAAAUGCUACAGAUGUUAGAAUGAGCAAGAGAAAUGAGCGCACAAGUCUGUCAAGUCGCACACCUUUACUACACUAUGCAGCAAGGUCCUCAGAGUCUCCUGUGUUGAACUGUAACUUGAAUAUGAUUCAUCAGGAAGGAAAUUUGUAAAAAUCUAAAAAAAUAAAUAAUUCAAAUUAUAAUCAACCUUCAGUUGAAUAUUUAGAUUAAGCAAGGUAGAGAGAACAUAAAGCCUGACCAUUAUCGGGUGGAUCUCAAAAUGGUCAAAAUAGUACUGCUGGCUCUCAGUCUUUGAGUUGGUAAGAGAUGUUCUCCAAAAUGGAGCGAUUCUCAUUAAGGUCUCCUCGUCAAGGUUCAAAUCAAUUGGCUGUGAACAUUAGCACUAACAAAAUCUAAGCAGAGAGAGUCACACGGAAAAAUUAUGUUAAGACUAAGUUAAAUACGGAAGAUGUGAUAAUUUAGAAUUUAAAACUUAUAGCAAAUGAAACGUUAUAUUAGAAUCUAUGGUAUUGAAUUCAAAUUUUUGUAAUUCUAUGUCUUCCUUUAUUUUAUUCAUGCGGUGAACUUCAAUAGUUACUAACAUUUAUGAGAUGGGUGAGAUUGUCACAAAAAUAAAAUAGUCAUAAGUAGAUUAAGAUUUUUGAAUUAGUGUAGUAAUUUAAUGAGCUUUAUUAUCUAACAAACUAUUCACAUGAAUGAAUACCGAUAUUUCCACUUCCGUCCAAUCAAAAUUACUAUCCUGGAAGAGUUACUUUCUUGAACAAGUGAUUGUGGAGUCUAUGUUUAUAACCAAAUGUUUUGUGGAACAUGAAUGUUAUCAGUUAAGGAUGAGCAUUGUUGAGACUAUGAUGUGACCGUAAAUGGCACUUUCAAGCAGCCCUACAGAAGCCAUUUCUUCUUCCUCUUUUUCAUUUUUUUUUCCUUUCCCCUCAUAACCAAUCGACCAGCAAUGAGGCCAACUAAAGUCCUGUCGGUGUAUGGCCAAUGUUAUAAUGCUUAAUAUUACCUGCAGAACGACAGAGAAGUACUUCACUUGCUUCACUUGAAAGCUGGUUGAGUUCAGGACGCACACAAUUUUGAGAACACAAUCAUUUGAGUCACUGUAAUCAAGUCGAUGCCUACGAAGCAUUGCAGCAAAAGUAGCUCCUUCUCUCUUCUCCUCCAAUUUCAGUGACUGCACCAAUUUAACGAAUUAGCACUUGAUCAAAUUGUUAGAAUAAAUGGGUGGUUAUUUGAAUGACUUAGCAACUGCCAGGAUAAUGUCAGGUUAAUGGAAACCAGUACCUGAAGAGUAAUCUGGUUAUAUUUCUGCUGCUCUGUGAACACAGAGUUCAAACUAAUGUCCCUGAGUUUGGCUGCUACAAGUGGCUUACAUUCUGAUGGCUCACUCCCAUAUCCCUCCUGAAAUCAUAGUUAUAAAAGGUCAAAGACAUUAGUUUUCGAAUAAAAUAUAACAUGUCAAUCAAAGAAAUCAAUGAAUCAAUCUUCCACACACCCAUUUUCUUACCACAAAAUAACAUGUAAAUGCACAAUCCAGGAACUUGUUUUGAAUUUUAUAUUUACACUUUCUAACACAAUGAAUGACUAGGAAAACAAAGCAAAAAAAAUUUAUGAGACAUGGGUACCCAUAAUUACGAUCACAUGGAGGAACUGUGAUACUCAUAACACAUAGUCGGAUAGAAAAGAUUAAGAUUACAUUACAAACGAGCAUUCUAGAUAUAAACAAUGCAUAGGAAAGAUUCAGACUGGAAAUUUUCCAAAUCUACCGACUCCCGACUGUUCUUAUUUAUUUAUUUUUUUUUUAAAUACAAGAUAUGAAACUUUCCAUUAGAAAAGGAAAAGAGACUAAUGAUCCAAAGAUGCCAAGUCAACUAGGGAGUGAACAAAGAGAUAAACGAAACAUAGAAGAAUUACCAGGGAAAUAAAAUGAAAAAAAACUAUCAUUCAAUUAUUCAGAUGAUUAUAUUCUUUCCUUUUUCAGUUUUAACUAGUUUUAUUUCUUUUUCUGCUUUUCUAUGAUGUAAGGGCAAUGUACAUUUUAGUCCUAGUUUGUGAUUAUGGUAUUUGAGGUUCAAAGGCUAGUUCUAAAUUGUCCGAUGAGUUAAUUUAACUGUUAGUUGACUAAUGGAAAAGUGACAGGUCAUAUUGAUAUUGCAAGUUUAAAUGAGGUGGCUAAUUUAAUAAUUGUGUAGUAUUUUUCUAGUGACAAUGCGUUUUCAUUUUCUUCCUCAACUCUUUCCCUUUCUCUCUCUUCCCUUGACCUUCCUCCCAAACCCAUUUUUCCAUUGGCCCCAUCUCAAUCUCCAUCUUCAUUCACCUGUAGUUCCACAUCCAGAAAAUCUCAAUCCGCACAAUCAAAUGCCUUUUUAUUUCGAGGACACAAUUGUACAACUACAAUCUAUAGACUAGAUUCUGUUCAAUCCUCACAAUCAAAUGUAUUUUCAAUGAGAGAGAGAGAGAAAUUCAGAGUACAGUUUAAUAAGACAAAAAUGCACAAAAAAAAAUCAAUAAGCCAAAUUAGAUAAUAUUCUAUAAAAUCAAAGCACAAUACCACCCACUUAACCAAAUUUGAGGCAUAAAAUAUUUGAACUUUGUUACAUGAACACUUGAGAAGGAAUGUUUUAGGGAGAAAAGAAGGCUGACCUGUCUCCAACAUUCAAGUAAGUGAACUGUGAUAUUAGAAAUUCUGAGUUGAAAUUUUUGAGAUGAAGAAAUGACUGAAUCUCCUUUGUGACAAUCAGAUUUCAAACAAAUACGUAAAAUCCUGGUUGGACCAUCAGCAUAUAUUUCGUACCCAACCUUCAUAAUCUCCGGGUCACCGAAGUUUCUAGAUAUUGUUCGAUGUGUCAAGCCUCCUUGUAGCCUAGACUUAAAUAAAGGUUUCCAUGUGCGCAACUUGUCCAAGUUAAUUUCACGAAAGCUCACUACCAGUAAAUUCAACAGCAAAAAGUCAAGUACCACCCAUUGUCAAAAUCGAAAAAGUGCGUAUUUUUUUAUGUAUUUAGACUUUUUCUUCUUUUCUGUUUCUCUUUUUGAAAAUGAAGAAUGAUAAAUCAAGGCAUCAAUUGUUUAGUAGAGCUGUAGAGAUAACCUAACUAGCAAGGCAUCGAUUGUUUAGUAGAGCUGUAGAGAUAAACGCCGAAUAUUUGUUUUCUGAAUUUAAUUUAACCUAACUAGCAAGUCAUUGAAAAUUCACAGAAAGCAGGUGCUAUAAUUUCUAUAUUUAUAUAUAAAUAAUAAUUUGUUUUUGUUUUUUCGAAGAGGAAACAAGUCCCUAUUAUUAAUAAUUAAAUAAGGAAAAACAAAAGCUCAUAGUACAAAAGGAUUAUACAACGAGCAAAAAUGAGAGACGGGUCGGCAGACGCACCCGGACAUCUCACUAGGUUGACAUCCCCCUUAACGCCCUCAUCAUGUUAUAUAUAAAUAAUAAUUGUCAAACAUUUAUCCUUUAUUGCCUCUAUUCUUUCCAUAUGUAAGAGGUCUUUCCCCGAAGACCUAAAUUGCACAUAUUUAAUGGGAAAAUGCUAUUAUUCACAGCAAAAUUAACAGCAGGGAACUUCUCUCAAAAAGAGAGAAAAAUAAUAUAAUGUAUGUUUAUAUUCAUUUCUUCAUACCAUUGAUAGCAAUCAACAACCAAGCCAGUACCAAGAACAUAGAUAUAGACCUUGAAAGAAAAAUAUAUUUCACAAGUACCGGAAAUUUGGACUACUAGCUCAUGUGGUUGAGUCAGGUCAUCCCAAACAUAGUCAACACUACAUCCAGAUCCUAGGACCUCUGGCUCCUCGGAAUCCUGUAAAUUAUCAUAUCAUUAAUAGAAAAGAAUACCAACAUUAUAUAGUAGUGCACAUCCAUCCACUAAUUGCACUAAUGGAACAGAACAACCUUCUGAUAGUAUGUAAUAGGAAAGUUGUGCAAACGAUUCUCAAUCCUGUAUGGAAGGUUGGUAUUUGGUGGUUUAUAGAAGUGCAAAUUUAAUGUUGAACCUUCUUCCACCACGUGAACUGCAGCAAAUUCAACUUUAGCCUCUUGCUGCUUUUUGAAUUUCAGGUAAAAUCGUCCCAAUGAAGCAAUGCAUAUUGGGCCAGACCGAAUUAAAUCAGAGCCAGUCAGGUAGAACUGAAUAAAUUUUGAUGAAUCAUCCAUAGAUCUUGAAUGCUUCUUAACAAAUUUUUCAAGUAGACUGAAUCCUCUACGCUUCUGAAUUCCGUCCUGCAGUUUUAGUGUUGCUUUCUGUUUACUGUCUACUUGGAUUAGGCUUCCUUCAUCACUCUUCAUGUAGGAUCAAAAAGAGACAAAAAAGAAGAAAAGGUUUAAAUACAUAAAAUUUAACAUUGACCAGAUUGCUGAAGAAAAGGGAGCUAAAAAAUGAAGAACAAAUUACAAACCUGUAAAUAACACUGACGAACAGUAAUAUUUUCUUUUGAUUCAUUAAUCACUACAUAUCGUGGGACUAUAGUAACAAGCUGGGACGGAACAACCAUAUUUCUCAAAAGUGAACCCAAUGAAACACCAAGUUUGAUACAAGAUACUGUGCCAUCUCCUUGUGUUUGCAAGCUUAAUUCUGUGAAGCCAGAUAGAGCAUCGAAGUCAAGUAGUGAUUCAGAUGUAUAAUUUUCUGACUCUACAAGCACCUUUUUGGACCUGUAAGAUAUUAUGGUGAUGGUGUUAAAAAAAUGGAAUUUUAGAAGACUAGAUUUUGUUGAUGUGAGACUGAGGAAAUAAAAGAGAAGAAUUAGGGGAAAAUUCCAUUAGACUUCCUAGUAAUGAUUCAUCUUACUUUAAGAACCAUGAACAACUGGAGUGUGCAGGCAAAGUUAUUCCUAAAUGUGGAGGACAGAAACCAUUCUCUUCUACAUCCCUGCAUACAUUCAUGACAUUCAUUUGUUACAGAAUAUGCCAAAGGUAUGCACAGGCUGUAAAACAAUGAACGUAAUUCAUGAACUCUUUUUAGAUGCACCUGUAAAGGAUCUUAUUGGAAAUAAGAAAAUGCAGCUUAAAAUUUGUGUCAUUCUUCAGUGCAUACGGUGUAAAAACAGUUACCUGCAAUUCAAAAUGCAUUAGAUUAUCUGCAGAUCAAAAUACAUCAGGUUUCCUACAUGAGGCAUAAUGCAAAUAGUUUCUGAGUCGGAGCUGUUGCAAAAUUUGAGCUCGUAACAACGGUAAAUUAAUAUCUAAAUGUUCAAUAUGUACCUUAAUGUUUGAAAAACAAAGCAAAUUGUGAUAUUAACAUAACCUCUAAUAUGCCUCUAUCGCCACGAGCCAAUCUCAAGGAAGCAAAGUACUUUCCAGCACCAAAAUCAAGAUCGAUGUCUAUGUAUGGGACUUUACUUUUCUGCUUCAGUAACUUCUUCACAAAAUCACCAGUAUCCACUGGUUUGCAAGUUGAACUUAUUUCAGUUAAUGUAACAGUAAAAAGAAUAAUGGCAGGGUUCACAUAGAAAUUUGCUUCCGAUUCAGAUGAUACAGUUGCUCUGCAUCCUAUAAGUGAAUUCUCAAUUAUGGUGCUAGGAUCUGCAAUAUGAUCAAGUGACAAGUUAAGUUAUUUAAAACUAUCCAUAUGGAAAACCAAUUUCAACUUUACCUGUCCCAGUUAAAUGCACAUGUAUAUUUGAAUACAAGGAAUUGAACACCCGUACGGUAGGAAGAAGAAAAAUUUGUUUUUGCACUUGUAGCACAUCAGAUGAAUGGCUGUCAUCAAACCUAUGCCCAGAUUUAUCAGGCAGCAUCGUAUGCACAUCCUUACCAAUGCACUGAAUCAGAAAGUGCAAGUAGUCUUCACGUCCAUCAUCAGCUAACAGCUUACAACUUGCGGUGCUGAAGGAGUACUUCUCCAACCCAACCAUUAAAGCCUUUCUGACUUUGUAGCUUAACUUAUCAAAAAUUCCGGACAAAUGGACUGCCUUUUCCCCUUUAAAAUCAUCUGACCAGUCAACUGAACUUGAGUUCUUAAAAUUCAUCGAUUCCUCAUGUAACAUUGGUCUAAAGGAGAGAAGGAAGUUUCCUGAAACGUUUUGAACCCAUCAUCAAUUUCAGAACAAGGUAAAAUGAAGGGAGAAUCAAAAUGUAAUGCAGUUUGAUUCUAUUUACUAAGACCGAAGUAAAAAUGGAUGGUUUCUAGCAUUAAGCGCAGGCUUCACAUACAUAAGGCUAGACUUCUGGUCCAUCAUGGAUGUUUGGGUCUUCUAUUCAUAUAUGUUAAAAAAAAAGAGGAAUAAUUUUUUUAUUUGUGUUAUUUUUUUAAACAAAAAAAUGCCUCAUCGUUAAAGCAAUGAAAUGAGACUAAUGCUUAAUACACUAUACUAAUUGUACCUACCCAAAAUAAAAGAGACUAAUGCUCAACAGUACAAUAACCUUCAAGAGGAUAGAUAAAUUACAAAACUACAAAAGGAAAAGAAACACUAUUGAAAUAGAAAAAAGAGAAGAUACCGAAAGCAAACCAGCUCCAGAAAAGAAACCAAAACUAGAUAGCACAUAAGCUAUAAAGCCAAAACCAACAGAAGUCCAAUGAGCAGACGAGGUAAGAAGUCCAAUAAGGGUGAAAGUGUGAGGAUCAAACCACAAAUCACGCCAACUCUAAAACUGCCACUUCUAAGUUUUUUUUUAAGAGGAGACAAGUCUCAAAUUUUAUUAAUAAAAACAAGCUUAAUGCUCAAAGUACAAGAGAAUUAUUCAGAGAGCACACAAAUAGAUAGGCUGUGGAUCAGACGCACCCAUAAAUCUCAACGAGGUUGACACCUCUUUACUGAAAGAGUCUUCACAGACGCCCAUACGAGUCUAUUGUGAUAACAAGGCUGCCAUUGCUUUGACCCAUAAUCCAGUUUUACGUGAUAGGACAAAGUACAUUAAAGUUGACAACCAUUUCAUAAAGGAGAAGGUUGAUGUAGGUGUAAUAUGCAUAUCUUAUCUUCCUACGAUAGAGCAAACGACGAAUAUGCUAACUAAAAGUCUUUCGAAAAGACAAUUCUAUAAAUGUUUUAGCAAGCUGGUUAUGGAUGAUAUCUACAAGCCACCUUGAGGGGGGAGUGUCGAAUUUCCUUUUAUCUUAUAAUUUUGUUUUUUAUUUAUGUCUAUAUUUUUCCCUUAUUUAUGUUUUCUUUCUUUGUUGUUGGUCUUUCUUUAUAUAAGAAGACCUUGUAUUUGGUUCAAUAAAACAUAGGAAUAAUAUUACAUUAUUUUUACUUCCCAUUUUUAAGUUGGUAUCUGAGUACGUUGCUUCAAGAUGUCCUAGGUUCAAGCCUUUGCAAUAUUAUUUCCUCCCCAAUUAAUAUACAUUUUCAAUUGUUGGGCCUCCUUCAUAUUUUGAGCCCACAAGUAAGAAGGAGCGUUAGAUAUUAUAUUAAAUUUGUCUUCACCCAUAAGCUUAAGCUUUUGGGUCAAUUGGUGAUUUAAGACGCCCUCAUCAUCUCCUCCAAAUAAAUUGCCACUUCUAAGUUGCAACUACUAGGAGAAAAAUGUGACAUCAUAAGGACAAAGCAGUAAGACCUAGGCACUUAAACCAUAGACAUCUGCAAAACACGUUCAAUUUCAAGACAAAACCACCAAGAUAUCUUUAACUGGAGAAGAAUGAGGAAGUGAUUUCACCUAAAAACUGAAAAUUUCCAUAUAAGCAGAGAAUUUGACAGGAGUUAUGGGUGACAAAUCUACAUCUGGAAUUUAGCUAGUUAUAGCAGCUCACACUCCAUUGAUUCUUAAUCAACUAUGAAUUUGAAUAUACCUCCUACCAAAAUGUUCGGUAAAAUAAAUGGAAAAAAAAGUAGAAGCAAGUACUCACGAAGUACAUAGCGAACUAUUUAGCUUUCCAAAGUAAAUGAAAUGUAAAUUCACUUUCUUGCAUCUGACUUUUGGAACCCCAAAAUCCAAUUAACCUAAAAAUUUAAUCCAAGAAAUUUACACGAAUAUUAAUAUCGAUCACCAUAGAGGCCACCUAUCAUGAAGGACAGCUUGUUAUUUCAUGCACUUGAAAUCACCGUAAAAUAGUCACUGUUGUUAUUAUUAUUUAUUAUUAUUAUCGUUCUUUCACAUGGACAUAGAAAGAAUACGUAAUAAAUGAAACAGCAUAAUGAUGAAAAACUAUCUUGGCAAAAAACUCAAUAGAUUAGGCUUACCACAUACCAAUACUUAAAGAGUUUAAUGCUUUUCUUGAUCCACCAGACGAAUUUAAAGCAUCAAACAUUGCCAUUGAAUCAUCAAUCACAUCUUCAGAUUUUAGCAACACAGAAGCACUUUCAUCUUCAUUUGGUUGGUUUCGUCGAAAUCGAAGUUCCAUUGUUAGUCCACUUUCAUUAUGUAUUCUCGUCAUAGGGGAAACCACAAUGGACAAACCAUCCUGCAAAGUAGAGGGGCAUAAGGGUUGUUUAUAGUGCAAUCAUUUUCAAGAAUUGUAAACUCAAUUGAAACAAUUUAUUCACAAAGUGAUACAAGUUACCUCAGGAUGAUGAGAAAUGUCAACCACAAUAAGCGGCCCUGGAUAAGUUUUGGAAUCUAUAGAAAUGAAAAGUGGACAUGAACAUCCUCAGCAACAUCACCAAGAAAAUUGCCUCAAAUUAGCAAUAAAUUAAGAAUAUGAAAAUCAAAAUUUCGUUUGAAAUUGAGUAGCAAUCAUAUAGUAAAAGUGUUUUAAAAUGUCUUUCACCUUUUUUUUUUCAUCAAGUAAAUAAGUGUGAUUAUCAAUAAAAAUAACAAACCUCUUUUUCCACUAUGAGUUGUAAUUUUAGGACCCCAAGCAUCGCUAUCAAUAAAAGUAACUUAAGUAAACGAGGAUGGUGCCAAUUGACCCAAAGACUUGAGCUUAUGAGUGAAGACAAAUUUAAUUAUAUAUCAUCUAACAGUUUCUCCAUUUGAUCUAGUUGAUUCCCUUCCCUCCUUUAACUUUGUUCAUUAUGGUUGUUUGGUUGCAUUAUCAGUUUUUCCAGAGUCGCAACUUGAUAUGAACCACCAGGAAAAUUUAUUGUCAAUGAUUUAGUUUUAGGGGAGCCUGGGCUUCAAACUUUCCACCUUACUGUAGCCCACUCAAUGUUUGGGUGUCUGAUGAUAAUAAGUGAAGUUUCCAAUUACUAUAACUCACAAUUAACUACAAUAAAGCUAUUUGAAAACUUUCAUUGUCCAUAGAGUCUACUGUUUUGUAAGCAUAUUAUCUUAUAGGUUAUAACUAUGUCCUCUAUAUUUCUAUUCAUUUUCUUAUUUUUAACGAGUUCUGUAUAUGAGACCUAAGUUGUAUUUUCUUGAAAUAUAAAGAAUAUUAUAUUUAUCUGAAAAACACAAUAAUAAGCAAACAAGUCAAUUACCCGUAAUAAAAAAUAAGAAAUUUGAGAAUACCUUUUGAAGAUUCUAUUCUUGUUCUCCAAGCAAAUGUUUGGGCCUGUAACUUGUCAAUAUGGAUAGGAGUUGUAAAAUUUUCAGUUUCACAAAGUUGAAAUGAAAUAAUUGGUCCACUCUCAAGAGAUAGGUCUGGUGAUCCUUGCCUUGUAAACAUGAAAUACCUCCGAGAUAAUUAAUCUCAAACAAUGACGAACAAACAAAAGAAUCUAUAUAACUAUAUGAACUAUCGCAAGGGAAACAAAUACCGCAAGAGACUGGUAGCUGACAACUACAAUCAUAAUGUCGUUAUAAGUCAAAUACAUAAUACAUACUAGUUUUCCGUGAAGCAACAAAUGCCCAGCUAAUGUAAUAAUUGAAUCCUUUUUCUCCCUUAUGAUAAUUUUUGGAGGUAGUUAAUUGUUUCAAAAUGCCAACUGCAGUUUUGAUUUUGAUGCACAGGAACGCUGUUGUUACUAUAUUUGUUUCCAGCCAUUGCUACCAGAGGCUUCUAAAGUGCCUUCGGUUGCUUGUGUUGAUUUUAUGGAAUAAAUCUAUAUUUCAUUCAUUACUUAAUAGAGAUACAAGCCUAUAUAUACCAUAGAGAAAUACACUUAAGGAAAUAAUAUCAAAUAAUAUCUCCAGAAUAAUAUCUCCUAACAAUAAUAUCUCCUAAGAAUAAUCUAAUUAUAUUAAUAGCUUGUUAUUCUGAGUUUAUUAAUAAAAUCCUUUCCAACAUCCUUUUCCUUUCCACAGGCAUUAAGAUUUUGAAAUCACUAUUGAAUGUCAAGAAUUUUGUAUUCUUUUUUAAAAAAAUUAAAAUCAAAUCAAAUAGCUGGAAAACAGAAAAUUCAAUCUUUAUUUUUCACAAGAAAUGUUUUCAUCGAUGAAAUGAAAGGAGAGACAAAUGCUCAAUAGAUACAAAACUCUACAUAGGAGACAGAAAAAUAAACAAGAAGCAAACCAUUCAACCAAAACAUAAUUAAAACGAUUCCAUAAGCAGAAAAUUACACAACAAAAUGAACAAAGCAAUCAUCAGCCUUUGAAUCCUAAGAAGUUUACCAAUCUACUAUCUCGCUCCUUGGAUCUGAUGUUCAAUUUAUUAGGAGUAUCCAAACCCCAUCCCCUAAAGAAGUUUUAUCUUCUUCCGUAGAUGACGAGGAAUCAGUGGUAAGUGUGAGCAGUGAAGAAGGAGAAGUUCCUUCCGAAGAACCAGCGUAACGGGAGUUCCUUUCAAAGGAUAUAUUUGAUGGUUUGUUUAGCGCCAAUGUGCGCAAAUUACUGAGGGGGCCUUAUUUAUAAAAAAAAAAAACCUUUUCUAAUUUGGGUUAAUUUGAUAAAAGCGAUUCUAGCUGAGAUUUGGUUCGAAUGUAACCAACGCAUCUUCCAUGAUAAAAAAGGGAAUUGGAUUGACAUCGUAAAGAUUUCUAAAAGAAACGCAGCAGCUUGGUGUUCUUCAAAUGCAGAAUUCAAAGAUUACUCCAUUCAAGACAUCUGCCUCAAUUGGACCGCCUUCAUCGGAUGAGUUUCAUCGUAGUUUUCCCCCGAUUGCCAGUUCAGAAUUAGUGCUUUUGUAGUUUGGAUGGGUUUUAUAUGUAUUUCUGCCAUUAUGUUUGUACUUUUCAGUCUUGCUUUUAUCUACUGUAGGUAGCUUCUGUAGUUAUUUUAGUUGUUACUUUGAUCUUUUCAUGACCUUAGUAUUAUUUUUGUACUUUGGUCUUUUCUUUGUAUUUUGGAUAUGAUGAGGGUGCUAUGGGAUGUCAACCUAGUUGAGAUGUCCAGGUGCACCUACUGAUCCUAGCCCUAUCUAUCUAUCUCGCUCUCUCUCUCCCCUUUCUUGGCUUUCCUAUUAUUCUCAUUGUAUAGCUCUUUUGUACAUUGAGUUUAUUAAUAAUAAAGAAGCUUGUCUCCUUUUCAAAAAAGAUAAAUCUGCUGAGUCGUCCUCCCAAAUUCUUGGGCAAAAAUCGUUAUAACUCAAAGAUUCAUUGAAGUGGGCCCAUUUUCCUUUAUUCAUUUCAUUUAAAGAUUCAAAAGAGGACUCUUCGACUAUUGGAAUAUUAAAAACAGGGUCGUUAGAAGUGGACCCCACUGCCUUCUUGCAAUAGCUGUCUGACUUAGGUUUAGCAAAAUUCAAAAAAGGGGCUGUUCAGUUGCUUGUACAUUCAAUUCGUCUUCAACCUGAUUUCCUGCCACUGUCUUCAUCACCAGCGACGGUGGGAUGGUCGAAAAAAUCUUUAGAAUUUCAAAUGGAUUUAUGCUUCUAGGGAGAGUUGCAAACACUAAUUUCAAGAUUUUCUGGACUAAUGGAAAGGAGGGAUCAAAGUCUUCAUCAAUCAUAACUUCUCUAAUCCUCAAACAAUCAAGAGAAUUAUUAAAAUCAUCUUAUAAGUUAGGGGCUUUGAGGGGAAUAUUAUGGUUUAGGAAUUCAUAAUCUCCAAAAUGAAGAUAUAUAUUUCCCCUCUUUAGAUCAGUGAUUUCAAUUGUGCAAGGCACAAAACCACAAGGAUUCUUCUUAACUUGAAUCCGAGCUUCACUAACAUUAAUUAAUUUUAGAGUUUCGGAGACUAUAUCUAAGAGACCUCCAAAAUGAUCUCCAAUGACCUUAAAGGUACUUCUACACCAAUGAAGGUUUUUAAUUUUGAGCCAACUGCCACAACAUCUUUCGAAUUUGAGAUGAAAAUUCCCCAGGCUUGCCAUUUUCCUUCCUCAUAGAUGAGAUCUAAAAUUGAUCCUUGGUCAAUGCUAAUGAGGGCAUUCUCAUCCUAUAAAGGAUUUAUAACAAUUUUUUAUUGGAAAAAAACUUCCAACCUCUUACGGAUCAGUUUCCGAGGCAAAUAACUUUGUUAUAAUUCAUAAAUUUUCAAAAUUGACUUUCACGACUUCAUGAUUUUUAAUCAGCCAAUGCUUCUAUUUUGAAGGGGGAAGAUGGACUGACUUUUGAACCUUCCUUUUUUUACUAGGAGUCUGGUCAGUUACCUUAUAUUUAGGUCUUAGAACAGGGGAACUGGAAAGACUUGAUUUUGCCACUUCAACUUAACUUAGUUUCAUAUUCAAAUUCGGAGGAGGAAUCUUGAGGGAAUUAUUAGAAAACCAUCUAGCAUAAUCCAGUUUUUCGACAAACUUAUCCAACAUUGAGCAAAACAACUUCCAGCCUUGCUUCUCACUACCCAAGCACACUCUGAUAUUGAAGAGAGCCCCUGAAUAUGGCCAAUGAUCACAGCGCAGUAUCUAACCCGACUUAGCUUGAAACUUUGAAAUUCUCAAUCUGCCUCUGUCGAUAUCCCCAAAUUUCCUAAAGUGUCUACCUACCAGAAAACUGAUAAGAUCAAUUAACGCUGACCAGAUCCAUCUAAGUUGGCAAAGGGAUAGAGAGAUGCUUCUGUCAGCUUCUACAUCUUCAAUAAAGCAACAAUCUCCUUCUUGCCAAAUGCAGUAGUGUGACUGGUCAAUUUUACAGCUAACCACCUCCAUGGUGAUCUCUGGCGGCCGGAGAGGGGAGAUCGGAAGGAGUGGGGUGGAGAGAGGAGAGAGAGAACUUUCCUUUUUUUAGGCCCUAUGUUAAAUCACAGUUAGAUCCAAAAGUUUAAAUAAAUAGGUUAGAAAAAAAAAAUUCAAGUGCCUGGAUACAAGAGCUAAAAAGUAAGUAUAUGCUAAUUAAAGUACCUCAAAUAGAUGAAAUCAUGAUCAAAUUUUCCUAUUGUCCGACUCUUCUUGUUGUCAUAUUGACAAUGAAGAUCGACCCCAAAUUGAUUUUCAACCUGUCAUAUAAAUGCAGAUGAAAAUGCAGGCCAGUCUAUUCUUUUUAUAACUUGUGUAGAUUCGCAUAUAACUUUUGUCUAUCAAUGAUUAUAUCAGUUCUUCCCUCCAAUUGGAUCUAUUAAAUUUCUUAUUAGACAAAAAUUUCUACAAGUUCCAUCCCAUCAAUCAUCUUAUUGAAUUUUUCAUAACAAAUAACAUCUUGAAAAGCAAACCUUGCAACAGUUUGGACGAAUGAUGGAACUUCUCACUGCAUAAGGACCAGCCAAGUUUAGUUUCCCAAUGACAAAGAGCACUACAUCCAGCGAGGUCUCAUUUAAGGAUAUGUCCAACUACCAAUAUACCACAAAAGCAUAUCAGUGAGGUGUGUAAUAAAAGAACAAUGGGUUGACUGCAGAGUCAAGAAACUGCUUAAAUUCAAUGACAGUCACUGUUUCCUGAAAGAAAAAGAUAACACCUUCUUCAUUCUACAAUAAAUCUGCACAGGAACCCCACGCAAAAUUGUUUCUGUGCUACUGCUUUUAGCACUGAAACGGUAAUAAAGGCAAAAGUCGACUGGGCUAAGAAUCCAUUGCCUGCAUUACAAUUCAAGAAAAUAUUAUGAAAAAGAAUCGAAAUUAAAUUAAGGGGAAUGGACAAAAGAUAGAUCUUCAAAUGGCCUAGCAUCAAGGUAACAGCAUUCUUCCACUCGGCACAAGUUCUCACCAUAAAUGUCUUCGUGCAUCAAAAUAAUGUAAUUCAGCAGUGGAUGUGCAAAAAACCCUGGUUUUAUUUGAUGAAAUUUGUAGGGUCAGUUCCAUAUUACUGAGACAACCACAAAUGAGAGGCAAUAUGUCACUCGUAUCAGAUAUGUCAUGAACAAUGGUGAGAGAAAAAUAACUUGAAAUAACUAUUCUUGGAAACAUCCCAUUAGUUCCAGAUAAUCUCUCAUCCAGGUUUGAAUUUUGUUCACGACUGGUAUCGGUGGUCCCAGUAAGAUAAUGGUUUGUAUCAGUAACACCAUGAAUGGUAGAAAAAUCACGAAUAAUUUUGAACUUAAAAGGAUUUCCAGGUUUUCUGACAAACUUUGGAAACCCAUCAACAAAGGCAACACCACAGUCAUUGUUCUUGUUCACUAGAUAAAAACUUCUUUUAGAAAACUGGUUGUAUGCUUCCCAGUCCGUAUCACCAUUUUGACCUCUAGGUGUUGAAGAAAAUAUUGUCCAUAGUGUCGUAUCCCUAUCAUCAGUGUCAGAUAUGUUUACAACUCCAGAUCCGGGAUAACAGUUCAGUCUCAAUUGUUUGUCUGCAGCAUUCUUUGUAUACAAUGAUAUCAAGGAGAACCAAACCGAUGACGAGAAUCUCCUCCCUUUCUUGUAUUCAACCUGCAAGCUCAUAGUCACUCAAAUGAAAAGGAAAGUCAUAGAACACAAAAACAGAAGUAAAAAAAAGAGAAGUGUUGGAAUUCUUUCCUUUUUUCUAGGCAUUUUCCUUGUUAGAAUCCUAGAAUAAUUAUGGAAAGAUUAUGGAAAUGUUUUCCUUAUUUUUCUAAAUCUUUUCCUUUUUUAUUCCAUUGUAUACUCUAUUUAUUCUCCUUUGUACCUAUUGUUUUAUUCAUUAGAAAAUAAUAACAACAAACAAUCGUGGUUUUUCUCCCGGUACUCGGGUUUCUACGUAAAUUGGUGUGAACUCGUUGUCUCUCCUUUCAAUAAGAAGAAACCUAUAUUUUUUCAACGAACGUCAAUGAAAUAAUGAAAAGAGACAAAGGUCAUUAGUCCAACACAAAAGACAAAACUAUUCAAGUAAGGUCAUUAGUCCAAUCCAACAUUGUUUUGUUAGAUUAUUGUACUUGUUUCCCUCACAGUUUAAGCCUUCAAAAAACAGAAAAUUUUAAGAGAAUUCUCAAAUACUAUUCUAUUGUAUUCACUAAGCUCAUACAACAUUCAUAAGAAAGCUCAGAUGGUCAUUUAAGAAGAGGGAAGAUGUGACAGCCCCCUUUUGGUCCACUCAAACCAUAUUCUCCAAAUGGAAAAGGGGAGAUGUGAUAUCUCCAUCAUUGUCCCUCGUUGUGUCGUCAUCUUCAUAUUCAUGGGUUUUCUGCUUCAUUUUUUGUGGAUUUUCACCCUUUUUGCUUGUUGUUGGCCUUCCUUCUCCGUUGUCAAGCUUGUGGGUAAAGAAAAAUUUAAUUAUAUAUCACUAACACUCCCCCCACUUGUGGGCUUGAAAUAUUUGAAAGGCCCAACAAAUGAAAAUUAAUUUUAAUUGGAGAGGAAACAGUAACGCAAGGGGUUUGAACACGAGGAGGUCCUCGACCACCUACUCUGAUACUAUCUUAAUCACCAAUUGACCCAAAAGCUUAAAUUUAGAUUCUUGUGUUGCUUUUAAGUACUAGUUACAUACAAGGUUUAAGGCUUUUUGCUUUGUUCGAUCUUUCUUCUCUUGUAAGGGCUGUGAUUUUUUGUACUUUCCUUCCUCCUUUUUAAAGGUUGUGUGUUAGCCUCGGCUCACUCAACAUUGACAUUAGUUUGUAGGAAAUGAUAAGUACACUAUGGAGGUAUCUGUGAAAUUUCAGGGUACAUAAUGAUGUUUUACAUAAGAAAUAUAUAGACCUCAAGAAAACCACUAAAGGAAAAUUCAUAAAUGGAAAACACCAAAAAGGAAAAUAAUAAUGAAAAAUACUAAUAAUUCAUAAACCCCAAUUUUCCUUUUAACACCUUCCCUCAAACUCAAGGUGCUAGAAUCAUGAACUUGAGUUUGCUAAGAAGACGUAUGAAUCAAAUCAAUAGAUCUAGGAUAGAAUCAGAAACCCACAAAGAACAAAAAUACAAAGAACUUCUAGGCUAAAGACAAACCCACGAAAAACUUAUGAGAUAGAAACAUAGACCCUCGUAUAGAGAUCUAUAACAAAACUUAUGAAGAACAAAACAAAGAACUUCUGGGCAAUAAGAGAUUAGAACAAGAUCCACCGACUGAUUGAAAACGGAACAGAUACAUAAAAUAGAACGUAACAAUUGGGCUAACUGAACUAGACUCAAUGAUGGAACCAACCAACAGUAGACCAAACCGGUGAACCAAGACUGAACCAAUCGAACUAAUUGAAGAAACCAAACCGGUUGAGAAAAGCAUGAAUUUUCCAUGGACAAAGGGCUUUAACUCAUAAAAUCUAGAGACAGUUGUGCGAACACAAAUAGAGAAUGAAACUCAUGAUGUCAUAUGGAGACGUGAACUCCCCAAGACAGAUCUGGAGCGAACUAGGCAGCAGACUGGAGAAACCCAUGGAGACAGGUCUGGAUGGUGGAUAUGGAUCUGAGUGAUGGUGAGCUGAUAUGAAACAGACGCCAGAUGGGUCAAAGACGCACCAAUCUAGACAGAAUAUGGAAAAAGCUUUGGAAGAGCGUGCUAGUUUGAACUGGAAUGUUCGAUUUUGCAGCAGUUUGCCGGUGAGUUGGGUGGAGUUGGCACCGAAGAACGGCGAAUCUACAUGUGAGUCUACCUCCGUCGAUGGCUAGAAAAAUUGAUGGAGGUAGAGGCUGAACAAGGCUAGAGGCGGCAGUGGCAGCUAAAUUUUAAUAAUAUAAAACUCUAAAGCUCUGAUACCAUGUGAAAUUUCUAUAUUAUUGAAUAAAUCAUAAUAAUUCCAGAGUACAUAAUAAUGUUUUACAUAGGAAAUAUAUAGACCUCAAAGAAACCACUAAAGGAAAAUUCAUAAAUGGAAAAUAAUAAUGGAAAAUACUAAUAAUUCAUAAACGCUAAUUUUUCUUUAACAGUGUCAACCUAGUUUAGAUGUCUGGGAUGCCUCCUAAUCCUUAAGUUUUUGCUUACUGCUAUUUGUGUAACUCUUUUGUACUUUGAGCAUUAGUCUACUUCUGGUAUGGAGACCUUUUUAUAAAAGAAAAAGAAAACAAGGAUUCUUGAAGUUGUUCUAAUAAUUGCGUUUUUUGCAUCUGGCAUGGAGACAUAAAAAAGGAAACAAGGCUUUUCAUUGAGAAAAUUAAUGCUCGAAUUACAAAGAGACAUAGUAAGCAAAUAAAGCAAUUACAACCAAUAAGACAUUCUUAAAGAUGAAUCAAAUAUUUUAGCCGUGAAACAAUCAGGGUCAAGGCCAAAGUUCCUGUUUGAUGAAAAUAAAUUUUAGAAUUUUCAUUUUUCAGCUUAAUUUUGGGCCUUAUAUAAAUUGUGCUUUUCGUUUCUUGAAUGGUUUCUUCAUCUUCUCGUUUAAUCGAUCUUGUACUAGUAAGGAUACCCCUUUUUGAAUUCUUGGUUUUAGUUGUCACUGUUGUAUAGCCUUUGUGAUAGGCUUGGAAAGUACAUUUUUUAUUGUUUUUAGGAGAUGAUGAGGGCACUAAGAGUAUGUCAACCUAGUUAAGAUGCCCAGGUGCACCUGCUGAUCCUUAAGGUUUUUGUUGCUCAUUGUAUAAUUCUCUUGUAUUUUGUACUUUCAUCUCAUUAAAGAGACAUGUUUCCUUUCCCAAAAAAAAAAAAAAAAAAAAAAAAAUUAGAACUAGGAAUAGUUGUGCUGAGAUGGGGUUUUAAUCUAGAGGUAGAAAAACAUGAAGGCUUGUCUAUUUUGUGUAGAGUGCUUCAAAUAAAUGGAUAAAUUCUGAUUUAGUGGCCACCACCCUGCCAAGAAAACAGGUAUUUAAGUCACCUUUUUAAGCAAAAUCAGCUUAAAUUUUUGUUUCCAAAGGCUUCCUCUUCGCUUUGACGGAGAGCAAUUGGGGUUUGAGACUACUUGUUGAACUUUAUGCAUAGGAAAGCCUUCUCCCGUUUCUUUGAGAUUAUCAAGCAAAGGGAUGUCAACCAUAAUUUUAUUUGGCUCUUUUGUGUUGUGACACAACCAAAGAGGAUUUGUUUCUUGCUGUAAGAGCCUCUUUUAAACCCUUUAAGGUACUUGAAAGGCAUUCUAGAAUCUAGGUCAUCAGUUGUCAUAAUUGCUUAAAAAGUCAUCAAUCAUAAUGGUAGAGCUCUAUACAUAAUGCUACUUACACAAAAGAAUUAACAAAUUGGAGAUCACAGGUCUCACAUUAAUAUUUCCUAUAUGUUUCAUUUUCAUCCGGUUGGAUGAAAAAUUUUCUUUCAUUGCUACUUAGUCAGUGGGGAAAAAAAGAUGAGUUAUUGAAAGAAAAUAAAGAAGCAUUACUACUGUAAGAAGCAUAUUUCUCACUAGAAAUAAAACUAUUUCUGAAAAAGAUGGCCCAACUAUUUCAAUAGCCUUCAUAUCAGCUAAUGGCCAGGCAUUAAAUCCCAAGAGCUCUCAUCACAUAGACAAUAACAUCUUAUCAAAAUAAUAUAAGGACAUGGCUUAUUGAAAACUAUAUGCAGUAACUAGCAUCAAGUGAAAAGGAGAUUAAGCAAAAAGGAUAAAGUUAGAAUCUUAAAAGCGAAGGAAAAGAAAAACAUGCCAACAUUGAAUAAACCAAAUAGAUUCACAGAAUUACCCUGAAUAAAGCCUGGUCUCCCGCAAGAGAAUAGUGCAUUACACCAACUAAAUUGUAUCCGUCACAAUCUUCUACACGGAAGUACAUGUGCUGAUGGAUAUCUUGAAUUGCAACAAUCGCUCCUUUAUAGUUAAUGGAAAUAAUUAGCUCAAGAUAACAAAAACAAAACUGUACACUGUUGGUUAGAAACCUUCAAAUGAUAAAAUACCAUCAGGAACAAGAUCAGUGGUAAAUGUCUCUGUGUUAUUAGCAUCAACUUGUUGACCGCCAGACCAUUGCCUUUUAUGCUUAUUUGUCUUUUCCUUGUCAUACAGUCCAGAAAAUGAUGAAACCAAUAAAAAAAUUGCCUGAGGAGACAAAAAACAUAUACAUAAGUAUAUAACGAAGCAAAAGAGAAACAAAAAAGGUGUUGGCAAAGCUUCUUUUUGAAAUUAGGACUCACCUGUAUUUCAGAAUGAGACAAUAUGAGAUCCAACCCUGACAAAGAGCCUUUUCCAGCCCAAGCUUUACUUAAUAUGCCUACAUGAUCCCUACAUGUCUUUUCAAUUGACAAGGAAGCGAUUAAGUUCUCCAACAAAUAAUGCCGACAGCUAAAACAAAAAGGCCCAGUGAAAUGACUAUUUCCAGAAAAAAAUUUAUGAGAAACUGGAUGUUUGGAACUACUUGCAUCACUGUCUAUAUGAGCUCUCUUCGCAUGCUGAGAACUUGCAUCAAGUUCUCCAGCUACAGGGUGUGAAAACAAAUUUGAAAAAAAGUGAGGAAUUUGAAUACUGUUUUGCAAGGUUCCCUUAAUCUGUUGGGAGAGAAUUGACAAGUGAGAAAGACUAACUCUAAGUUCUUUCUUAUUAUCACCCAAUUGAAAUUUUAAAUUGGCAUCAACUUCAAUCACAAAUUCCCGAAUCACACCUGCAGAAAAUAACCAAUAUUGAAGUAGGGGUAUAGAUACUAUUAAAAUCAAACCAAAUAGAACAUCAUAUACCAGAUUCAUCGUUUACUACGAGAACAAGAGAAAUGUUGGAGACAUUGAGGAUAAAAGCUUCCAGAAGUUUCCCUUUAACUCUUAAAAGAUAGUCGGUAGUCUUGUCAACCAUAUUGUCGGUAGCAUUUUCCUCCAAUCUGGUGAUUUCUGCCAUUUCUUGACCCUUCUUAUCUUGUUGAUCAGAAAAUUGCAACAACGACAAAAGACUCCCUAUGGCAUGAUAGUAUUUAUGGAAACAAUUGAUGAAGAAUGCCAAAGACAACGUUUCCAGGAAAAGAACACCACCCUGUCAAUUAGCACCAUGUUUGUUAAAUUACUUCACAGUUCGGAAACCUAGACUUGUAGUAAUUAGUAAAUCAAAGCAUUCUUCCAUUUUUGGACAACCAACGGAAUUUUUAUCCAUAUGAUGAGGGGGAAAAAAAAAGAGGAAAAAGAAACAGAUACAAAUCCCAGGGGGAUUUAUUUGUCGCUUUAUAGAUAAAUUACAUGCAGUUUGAAAGCCUAGACUUGUAGUAAAUCAAAACAUCCUUCCAUUCUUGGACAAUAAAUGAUAUUUUCAUUGAAUUGAUUGGAAGAAAAAGAAACAACGAUGCAACUAAAGAAAAGGGAAGUAAUGACUCUUUAAUUCACAGAACAAUCACCUGAAUCUUCCAACGAAAGUCUUCCCCAACAGAGAGAUCUGACGAAAGUUUACUCAGUUGAUGUGCUUCAAUUAAGAUGUCAUACACUGAGCACCUCGUUAUGAGAAUCCUACUAAUUGCAAUAUUUACAAGCAACUGAAAUUUUGAAAAUUGUGAAACAAAGUCCAGAUCCUGAACAAAGACAGACCGUCCACCUGGCCCCUCAGAAUCAACUGCCAUGUCAGAAUUCUCAACAUUCAAUCCAUUAUUUCUAGAAAUAGAACUGUGGUUAAUAUUUCUCAGCCCUUCUGAAGAUGAGCCACUACGUGAACUCAAAGAUAACUUAAGCAUGAAAUCAGAAAGAGAGAUCUGAUGAUAGAAGUAAAGAUUGCAAUUAAGUAAUUGCGUCUGCAGAGAUUUGGGUACAGAUUGAUCUAUAUCACUUUUGUGAUACCUAAAUAUAAAUGAAUUGAUAUUAGAGAUAUCAGUAAUAAUAUCAACUCUAUCCUCUUCACAUGUUACCUUGACUCUACCCUGAUCAACAGACAUCCAAAGUCCACAAUCAGGGGAAUUGAUCUCUGCCAUUUUCUGGCUAUUUGAAAAGAUCUCAAAACUGUUGAAAGUGUCACUCCUCCGGGAAUUAUGAAGAACGGCAUCGAUCCGCUUAAUCUUAAAGGCCCCAUGAAUCAUUGAACUAGUAUGACAACUUAUUGAGGCUUCUUUCACAUAUUCAAACUUCGGCAUGGGCUUUGUGAGCAUGCUAUUUUGUUUCAUGAAUUCCUGUGGAUACCAACUACAAGAGCCAAGAUAAGAAAUUGCAGAGGACAAGUUUCCUAUGACCUGACAAAAAUAACACUUCGGGUAAGAAAAUGAAGACUGAGAGACAUAAUCCAGUGACAAGAAAUGCAUGAUUCUGAUUUAGCAACUUCAAACCAUCUGUGAGGGGAUUUAACAAGCAUGGAGAGUCCCAAAGAAAAUAACUUCGCCAGUAGUUAUCUUUACGUUAUCUUUGUUUAUUCAACCAAAGCAUAAUGUUAGAAAGAAUUUAAACAGCCCAAGGAUACUGCAAAUAACAGAAGAAAAAUAUAUAACUUGAGAAAAAUAUUACCCAAUCGCAUUAAUCAUAUUUCUUGAGUUGAGUAAUACGAAUUACACAAGAAAAAUAUAGGUGUUCAAAAAAUUAUACAACUAAUUACAUUAUGAAAAUAAUUAUAAAAUGUUUAAGAUAAAGCACGUGAAAAGAAGCAUGGGAUGGAUUUCAGUCGUUCCUCAUUAAUCAUCCUAACACCAAUAUGAAGGUCAAAACAUAUACAAGAAAACAAAAAUCAAUUUCAAAUAGAACAUCUAUCUAGAGGACUUUUGGAAGAGAAUGGAUGAAAUUUGGUCUCCAGGCUAUGAAUUUGUGUUUAAGCUAAUGAGUGAAAAAAGAUUUAGUUAUAUCAUCUACCACUCCCCUCAUUUUUGGGCUUGAACUAUGAAGAAAACCCAACAAGUGGAAAUCAAUUUAAUUGGAGAGGAAAUAACAUGGUAGGGGAUUGAACAUGAGAUCUCUUUGAACCACAUGCUCCGAUACCAUAUUAAAUCACCAAUUAACUAAGAAACUUAAGUUCAUGGGUAAAGGUAAAUUUAAUUAUAUCAUCUAACACUCCCCUCAUUUGUGGCCUUGAAAGGUUGAAAAGACCCACAAGUGGAAAUCAUAUUUUAAUUGGAGAGGAAGUAAUAUCCCAAGGGUUUGAAUAACAAGACCUCUAAUGGAACACUAAGAUUGUGUUCUAUCAAGGGAACUUUUAUUGAUAAUUAAACCAACGAUGAAUAUAAUAUCAAAUAAGAAUAAUAAAAACGAAUUGAUCUCAAUUCGGUUACAAUAUCUCUAUGUUACCUUCUCUCUCAAAGGUGCAUAGAUUCCUGACUAAAAAUCUCCCCAGAACUAACUGCCCUUCCCUCCAAUAAUAUUCAAACCUAUUUAUAAAGCAUAUCCUAACUAAUUCCCCUAACUAACUCACACGUGCCUAUACUAAUAUUCACACGUGCCUACACUAAUCCUUCUUCCCUCGUCUACUGUAUUGGUGGAUGAUAGGGGUUUAUCAUUACAUUCCUUCUCCAAAUUCACCUUGCCCCUCAACUCAAGGUGAAAGUCCGGAAACAGCCGCUGCAUUUCUUCAUAGUCUUCCCAUGUACCUUCGUGUCUAGGUAAGCCUUUCCAGCUGAUCAGCACAUCCCAUCCUCCAGUAUUGUUUUUCAAGUAGCCAUAAAUGUCAUCCGUUACUGCUCGCCAUUCAUGGGUUUCAGUCAUAUAAGGCAUAUCUGACGACUCAACUUAAUGAUUGCCCAGCAUUUUCUUCAGUUGGGAAACAUGAAAAACAGGGUGAAGGGAUGAUGUCUUUGGCAACUCUAACUUGUAUACAACCGGGCCAAUCCAUUCUAUGAUCUUAUAAGGACCAAAGUGUUAUGAUAUAUAUAUAUAUACAUAUGUCCUUUAUUGUAAUUUUACAUAGUCUCUAGGGUUUAGUUUAUUCUCUAUAUAAAUAUGUAACAUUGCUUUGACUCAAUUAAUAAUAAGACAGAUACGUUUCUGAAUUCUAAAUUACACAAAGAACUUUGAUGACAACUUCUCAUUUCUUCUUUUCCGAAAUGAAACCUUGGCCUAAUUUAAGAAAGACCAAAUCUCCUACCAUGUAUUCCACAUCUCUUCUCUUCAUGUCAGCAUGUUUCUUCAUCUUUUCUUGGGCUAUCCGCAAGUGCUCUUUCAAAGCUCCCAACAUAAUGUCCCUCUCCUUAAGCUGCUCAUCCAAUGCUGAAUUAGGAGUGUCUCGAUCAUCAUAAUACACCAAGAGGGGAGGUGAACGCCCGUAGACAGCUUGAAAGGGUGUGACCCCUAAGGAUCUCUAGUACGUCAUGUUAUAUCAGUACUCUGCCCAAUGCAACCAUUGUAUCCACUCUUUUGGUCGUUCUCCACAAAAACAGCGAAGGUAUGUCUCCACUCCCCUAUUGACCACUUUCGUUUGGCCGUCUGAUUGAGGAUGAUAUGUUGAACUACGAUUCAACUGGGUACCAGCCAACCUAAACAGCUCCUUCCAAAAGCCACUCAAGAAAACUUUAUCUCUAUCUGACACUAUGGAUUUAGGAUAUCCAUGUAGUCUGACUAUUUCAUUUACAAACAGAUCAGCCACGGUCUUAGCCGUAUAGGGAUGUUUCAAGGGUAGAAAAUGCCCAUAUUUGCUGAAUCUAUCUACUACCACGAAGAUCACCUCAUAUCCCUUAGAUUUCGACAGCCCUUCCACAAAAUCCAUAGAAAUGUCCCUCCACAUACUAUUAGGAAUUUCUGAAGGUAACAACAACCCUGCAGAUGACAAUGCCAUUGUUUUAUUUUUCUGACAGAUCAAACACUCCUCACAAUAUUUCUUCACAUCGAGUUUCAUACCCUCCCAAUACAGCUCACCGGCCAAUCAUUUAUAAGUUCUAAGGAACCUGGAAUGUUCCCCAAACACAGAGUCAUGGCAAGUAUGGAGAAUCGUUGGGAUCAAUAUCGAAGACUUGGAAAUAAUCAACCUGUCCUCGUAUCUCAACAUUCCCCGUUGUAUGGAAUAAUUGCCUGCUUUGCCAUCCUCUCCAUCCGCCGCUUCCUUCAUUAUCACUUUCAGUCUGUCAUCCUUUUCAACUUCUUCCUUGAUUACCUUCAAAUCAAUCAAAGUGGGUGUUGUGAGGUUGCAAAGAUGGACAACCAGAGGCAUUCUAGACAGGGCAUCCGCCACUUGGUUCUCCAAUCCAGGCUUGUAUACCACUUCGAAGGAAUAUCCCAAAAGUUUAGCAAUCCACUUUUGGUAUUGUGGCUGGAUCACUCUUUGUUCCAGUAGGAAUUUUAGGGAACGCUGACCCGUAUUUAUUGUAAACUUCCUCCCUAGAAACCUUUCAUACACCGGUUUCGCUCAAUCCCUCAUAGCCAAGGUGUGACUGAAAAAGGCAAUGGGUCGUUUGGAUUGAAUGAGCACUGCUCCUAUGCCAUAGUCGGAGGCAUUAGUCUCCAUUUCAAAGGGGGUGUCGAAAUUAGGCAAGGCUAAAACAGAAAGUCAUCAUGGCAUUUUGCAAUUUCUGGAAUGCUGUAAGGGACUCUUCAUUCCACUUAAAUCCACCCUUCUUAAGAAGCUGAGUUAGAGGAGCAGCUAUAGAUCCAUAAUGUUGGACAAAUUUUUUAUAGUACCCGUCAAUCCCAACAAGCCUCGGACCUCUCAAACAUUCUUAGGUAUCGGCCAUUCCUUGAUUGCUCUAAUGUUCUUCGGAUCAACCUCAACUCCUUGGCCAGAAAUGAUGUGCCCCAGGUAAUCUAUGCGUGUUUGUGCAAAGCUACAUUUCUUCUAGUUUGUGUAGAGCUCAUUCUUCCGCAACACUUCUAAAGCCUUUCCCAAAUGCAUGAUGUGUUCCCCGAAGUCCUUGCUGUAAAUUAGGAUAUCAUCAAAGAACACAAGAACAAAUUUUUGCAAAUAUGGUCUGAAUAUAGAAUUCAUCAAUGACUGAAAUGUAGAGGGUGCAUUAGUUAAGCCAAAUGACAUAACCAUGAACUCAUAAUGGCCUUCAUAUGUCCUAAAUGCUGUCUUUUCAAUGUCCUUCCCACACAUCCAAAUUUGGUGGUACCCGGCUUUCAAAUCGAUCUUAGAAAACCAUGUACCACCAUUGAGUUCAUCGAAGAGUUCCUUAGUUACUGAUAUUGGGAAUUUGUCCGAUAUUGUCACGUUAUUCAACGCUCAAUAGUCCACACAGAAGCGCCAACUCCCAUCUUUCUUCCUAACCAACAGAACGAGGCUAGAAUAUGGGCUGCUACUCAAUCGAAUGAUUCCUGAUGCCAACAUCUCAUCCACUAAUUUCGCCAUUUCUGCCUUUUGCUGGAAUGUAUACCUAUACAGCCUCACAUUCACAGGUUCGGUCCCUUGUUUCAAAUGUAUAUGAUGUUCAAUACUCCUUUCUGGUGGUAAUUGGUCAAGCCAAGUGAAGACAUCUUUGAAUUUCUUCAAAACCACAGACACUGAUUCUUCCACGAUCAACACCUCUUCUAAAUCUCCUCCUUCGGCAGAUGAUUCAUCCCACUCCAUGGCUCAGCAUUCCACCAGAAAGUCUUGGUCAGAAUCUUCCCAAGUCUUCAUCAUAUUCUUCAAGCUUACCGUAGUUUAACGACCUCCCUUAAUAAUCCCUUUCUGUCACGGUGCAUAAAAGUCAUAGUUAAAUUCCUCCAAUCUACUUUCGGAAUGCCAAGAGAAUAAAGCCACUGCAUCCCCAAUACAACGUCCACACCCCCUAACUCCAAUGGUAGAAAAUUCGCUACCACAUUCCAACCAUUCAUUUUCAAUUCUACAACUUCACAAAUUCCCUUACCUUUAAUAGCGGUGUCGGACCCUAAGAUCACUCCAUAAUGAGAAGUGUCUUUCGUCGAUAUCUAUAAACUCUUCACCAAUUUCUCAAGAGAUAAAAUUGUGGGUAGCCCCACAGUCCACUAAAAUCACCACUUCCUUGCCCUUGAUCUCCCCUCUCACCUUCAUAGUACCCGGUUUGACAGUCCUACAACAAAAUUAAUGGAUAAUUCCACAGCAGCUUGAUCUUCCUCAGCUAUUCUCACCAUUUUUAAUUCUUUCUCAUCCAUCUCCAUAUCCUUUAUAAUCUUAAAUUCCUCAUUAUCCUCCAUGACAACAUACAUUCGAAGUUCUCUUUUCUCCCUCAUUUUACAUUUAUGGCCAUGGGAGUACUUCUCAUUACAUCGAAAAUAGAGCCCCUUUCCUUUCGAGAUUGAAACUCUGCAUCAGACAACCUCUUAUUAGGUUCCUCCUUCUUAACUUCCCCACCAACCACUCCUCUCAAAGUGAUCAUCCUCAUGGGAAAAGUAGUACUGCCCUUAUUAUCAAUUGAAUUGGGGCUCACACCAGAUUUAGUACUUGUAGAAUAAGAAGGUGAGUAUUUACCUCCAGCAUAUCCUUUAAGGUUGGCUUCCCCACGGAUGAUCUCACGAUUCUCCGCCAACUGAGCUAAUUGCAUCAUCUGGGCUAAUCUGGUUGGUCUCUUCAAUCACCCUAUCUUGCAGGUCCGAUAAGGGGGCCAUCAGUUUAUCGAACAAGUUUCAAUAAUCCUCCACUGUCAUCUCUUGCCGAAUUUUUAAAAAUUGGCCGCAUAUAGAUCCUUCGCGAACUGAUAGGAAUCGCACCAAUAACCGUUCCUUCAAGUUCAGCCAAUCCACGAAUUUAUCCCUCUCUUCCUGUGCUUUGUACUAGUUCAGGGCUGGACCUUCAAAACUGAUAGACGCCACCAAUAAUUUCUCGACAUAAAUCAAUCUAUAGAUUUGGAAGAAUCUAUUGACUCGAAAUAACCAAGAAUUGGGAUCUUCACCGUUGGAUACUGGCAUCUCUAUUUUUUUAAUCUUAUUACGUUCUAUAUUUCCAUCCUCGCUUUCAGCUCUUCCUUUUGGCAUUUCGUCUCAAAUUCCCUUGUUGGACGUUCCUUCUCCUGCCUUGGCCUUCAUCGACGAUGUUUCGCGCAUACUUGGUUCGGCCUUUCGAUCUACCACGGCAGUUCUCUCCUUCGCUAUCAUUUCCAUAAACAUCAACAUCAUCUGCUGAUUUUUGUCCGACUAUACACUCAAAUUCUCCAGUGUCAUCGUGAUCGUCGUCAAUUUCUCCUCCAUUGCCAGCAAUUUGCUAAGUUCCUUCUUUAUGCCGAUCAGCUCGUUAUCAUAUGCUUCCAAUCUCUCUUCCUUCUGAACCAUCGUACUUGCGUUUCUUCCUUGGAUCAACCGCUCUGAUACCAAUAUGAUGGAACACUAAGAUUGUGUUCUAUGAAGGGAACUUUUAUUGAUAAUUAAACCAACGAUGAAUACAAUAUCAAAGAAGAAUAAUAAAAACGAAGUGAGAAAAUCUCAAUUUGGUUACAAUAUCUCUCUGUUACCUUCUCUCUCAAAGGUGCACAGAUUCCUGACUAAAAAUCUCCCAAAAACUAACUGCCCUUCCCUCCAAUAAUUCAAACCUAUUUAUAAAGCAUAUCCUAACUAAUUCCCCUAACUAACUCACAUGUACCUAUACUAAUACUCACACGUGCCUACACUAAUCCUUCUUCCCUCGUCUAUUGUAUUGGUGGAUGAUAGGGGUCUAUCAACCUCCUUAACCAACUUGCUUUAAUAAUACCUUAAAUUACCAAUUGACCCUAAAGCUUACGUAAAUAGAUGAAAGCAAAUUUAAUUAUAUCAUCUUAAUAAUUUGCACGAGAAAAAUCCAACAAAUCAUGAUUGCAACUCAAAGGUGAAAUUCAAGCAAGCCAAAUUAAAAAGGGAAAACCACAUGCACUAACAAGAAGAAGAAAAGAUGUACAAUGAAGGAAAAGAAGAAGAAGAAGAGACAAAUAGAACAUAUUCAUGUGAAAACAAAGAUGAAUGUGACAUGACCAAAAAACAAAGGUGGAUCAAACCUUCGUAAAUCACUGAUUGACCCAAAGGCUUAAGCCAUGAUGAACAAUGUUCCUUAUGGAGAAAAAAUUCCAAUGUUGAGCUUGAGGAACUCUAAGAGAUAAAUACUCAAAUACCUAGUGACAAUUAGUCAUAUGACUAACAAAAGAAUACUCACUUAUGGCAAUUUUUUUUGUUUCUCCACUAUUGUGAAUACUCGAGUGCUUGGCAAUUUGGGUUCUUUUUCUUUUUGUUUUGAUGGAGAUGAAAAUUUUCUAACAUCAUGAACUUUGAGAUCCUCUAACGCAAGGAUUUUGAAAAAAGACUUUUCUAUGGACCUCUGACACGAGGUUACAAUUACAGUGAGAGAAGUUUUAGGAUUAUAGCUCUCAUACCAUUUUAAAUAGUACAAGGUUCUAUCUCAACACCAGUUGGCCAUAAGAGAAGUAGCUCAUCCAUCUUAUAAGAGGUAUGAGAUCUUUAGUUUUUCCAACGUGGGAUUCUCAAAAUACCAUCUCAAGAUGGUACCUCUCAUGGGUUCACCAUUCUUGAUCUGAUCUCAAUUUAUUUUUAUUGGAUUGAAUACCCAUUUGGGCUCUAUGGGCUAUGAUACCAUAUUGCUUCAUGAGAUUAAAACAAUUCUCAAUUCUUAAUUAUCAUUGAUUAAAUUGGUGUAUACAACCCCAUAAUUUAAAAAAGAAAAAGUAUACACAUAAGGAAAAAACUUAAUGGUAAGAAACUAUACAAGAAGGGUGUCGGAACUUGGACUAAGGAAGAAAAUCUUCUCCAGAAUAUUCUCGUAGGGGCUUAACCAACUAAGCCCCAACUUUUAACCAAAUUAACUCAACUCAUUUUCAACAUUGUUUGACUGGACAGUUUUUAACUCAAACCACACUAUUAUCUAUAUUCAAUCUGCUUGGAACUAGGAAGAUAAAUUUCUUUUGCGUUUUUUUUAUCGUAUUUUGAUCUCAAGGGUACUUAUUUUUAUUUUAUUUUAUCUUUUGUAAUCUUCAUUACCUUUUUAAAACUUGGGGACUUUUUUUUUUCUAUUUUUUUGAGGGAUAGAAUGAUAUGGUAGGAUUAUAGUAAAUUAGGGUAUCUUUUUUUUCUAAAGGAAAAAUAACUUUUCAUUGAUAAAAUGACAGAGCAAAGAGCUAGAAAACAAGAAUAGAAACAAACAAAACAACGAAGAAAAGGCAUGAAAGAUACAAGGCCUCCAGAGAAACAAAUCUGGAGAGAAAACUCUUAAAACAUAGAAGAGGAGCAACAAUGAGAAACGAUAAUCUUGAACUUCAAGACAAGCAAACCGAUUGAUUGGCUGAUUUAAUUCUUUGAUUGAUUAGUAUUAGGAUUAGUUUCUUUGAUCAACUAGGAUUCGCAUUAGUUUGUUUUAUCAUUCUCUAUGAAUAGAAAAUUUGUCUUCUUGUAGUCAUAACUUUUGGUUCAUAAUAAAAACUUUGAUUUUGUACUUGGAGAUUUCUCUCCUUUUAUCUCUUAUGCUACACCAAGAAGUUUUUCACGUGUGACCUCAAUGUCUAUACUCCUAACAACUAUAUCCUUUUACUUCUCCACAAAUAGGUUUCCUCCCAUAGGAAUUUGUAACUCAGAUAUGAAUCAUCUCUCCCACAGGUGCCCAGUAUACAGUUCUUUUGUUUUGGGCAAUACAGUUUAUGACAAUAGAUGUUUCAGCAAAAAUUACAUGAUCGCCAUGCAGUCAACUAAAUGAAGUAGUAGCUCAUCACUUAAAAACUACUGAGAUACAAUUACCUUAAUGAGAAGAUAUAAAUCCUCCAUAUAUGAUAAAGAAGUGAAACCUGUGGUUGUACAGUCAAAAGCUACUGAGAAGGCAUUGAAAUUCUCACUAAAUGAGUGAACAGAUUUCCUGCACGAAUAUUUCAUUCGAAAUAAACUUCAUUUGUAAAUAAAAUAUAAUAUAACUCGAAAAUAUUUGCUUUGAAACUUUCAUAUUAAAUUGAAAUGUUAACCAUGCUUUCAACUGCAUUGCAUUUCAAUGGUAUAUAGUGUGAUGAAUGCACCAGGCCUUGAUUGCAUUCUUCUAAAAAAAACGUCUACAAUAUGUUUGCAUGCUUAUACUAAGGUUGCUAUCUAAAUACAAAUCACGUAAUUCAAUUUAUACUCACGUGAACACAUAGUAUCCCAGCCAUCCUCAAACUGACACAAAUUCUACAAAUUACCAGCCAUGGUAAGAAAUUCCCAACACGUAGUAAAUCAAUAAUCUUUUUUAUUGCAAAGGAAACUAUUUUUCAUUAAUGAAGAAAAGAGAAUAAAUGAAUAAAUACAACUAGCAGACUACAAAAUUUACAUUGAUACAUAUAAGACAGAAGAAACCAAAGACAAAAGGAGAAUACAUCCAAAAAGUCCAAACACGACACAAAAAUAGGAUUAAGGACAAAUAAAUGCACCCCAAUUCAAUUUGAUAUCUUGAAAAAAAAAAUCCCUCAAAAACCUUGAAUGGAAACACAAAAAAGAUACCUACAUGUGAGAUGCAUCAAAAUAAUCCAUCCCUCAAUAUGCUUGCUUUAAAAAAAGAACUUAGACUUCUCUCAAACAGCACUUAUCCAACAAAGUAAAUCAAUAGUUUCUAAAAUAAUUUUAAAAUAUUUUAAUUUCUUUCUUACACUAAAUUAAAUAUAAGAAUGUCUAAAUUUUGGGCAAGACACUUGAUCCCAUUCGGUAGCAUUUUCAUUCCUUGUUUUUUUUUAUUUCUUGUUUCGUCUUAGAAAAAUGGAAUUGCAUUCAAUAAAUGUUUCUUGUUUUUUUCUAUUUUCUUGAAAAAUAAAAAAAUGGAAACGAAUUUACUAAACAUUUCUUAUUACUUGUUUUAUGAAAAUUAGUUUGUAGAUAUGUAUCAUGCAUUUAAGAGUAAAACAUGAUAAAAUCAUUAUUUUAUUUAUGUGAGGAAAAAACCAUAAACUUGCUUUUGCUGUUUCUAAAAUUUCUACACAAUUUCAAAAUUGAUCCAUAAAAAUGAGAAACAAGAAACAAAAACAAUUAUCAAAAAACGCUUUUUCUAAAAACUGCAAACCCAAAACAGCAAAGUUAUCAGAUGACCCCUUGGUUCUAUGAUCUAGACGUUUAAAAGUGGCCACCAUUGAAGAAAAUCAAAUGUCCUCUCAUAUUGCUCCCCUAUAUUAAUGAAUAAAAUAUUUGUUUCUUUGUUAAAAAUAUUGUGUGAAAUGUUUCCAUAUCAGUUUCAUUGCUGAUAAGCAUAAUUAUGUUAUAUUGUAAUGAGCAGAUGACUAGAACAGAAUCAACAGGAAAUCAUGCUCAAUAAAAGGGGGGAAUCCUUUUAUAUCCUCACAAAAUAUAAGGGGGGUGACAUAUCUUAAUUGGGUUGAACCAUUAUACGUGCCUGAGUGCGUGAAAUAUAAAUCAAGCAUAAACAAACACUCAAAAGGUAACUUUGCAAGUGUGUGUAUGUGUGCAAGUUUUUAAAACGUAGAUUGGAGAAAGCAAAUAGAUAUUUUGUGUUAUUAUUUUUUUUAAGAGAAAGAAAGCACUUUUCAUUAAGAAGCCCUGUUAUAAAUACCUAUUCAUUAUUGACGGAGAACCACCACAAUUAUAUAGAGAAAAGUAUUAAGAAAACAGUUAUACCUGACAAUUGAUGAUAAGAUCAGCAUUGGAUUAAAAAUAAAUAUUUGGUUUUUCUCUUGUAUCCCGUCCAAACUUCCGAAAUAAGCUUUUAACCCUUUGACUUGUAGGUAGAACCAAAGGGAAACCAACUCUUGAGAUGUAUAUUUUUCACUACCAAUUGGUGAAAUAUGAUGUCCUUUCAAAGAGAGACACACCAGUUCUUUGUCAUCUGCUUCAGAGGAGUCCUCCAUUAGAAAUGUGAAAUCAGAGCUGGAAGUUGGGCAUACAGCAAUUUCAACAGCAUGCACAUCAAGUUCAAUGAGUGAGUCACCCUUAUGGGAUAUCUCACUGGAAAUUUCGUCAUCAUCACUGAAGUCCUUUCCAAGUGCCAUUUUGAUCUUGGAACCAGCUAUGUGCAUUGCAACUUGAAUGUCUUUCAGUGAUAGCUUUUCAAGCAAUGGUGUCAUCAUCUGACUAGCACAGUUCUCAUACUUAUUAUUCAAACAGGCUUCCCUAUUAUCUCCAGCAACUGUUGGUGGAUGCAAAGAAACUUCAGGACUUUGCUCAUCCUCAGUCCACGAAGAAGCCAAUUGAAGGAGCAAAGCUGCUGAUAAUACAGAUGAAUACUGCAACGCAAAAUUUAGCUUACCCAAAGCUAAAUUGCAUUUCCAUAUUGAAGUACUUGAAUUCUCAAGCACUGAUUUUGUCAUUGAGCUACUAAUUUCACAAAGAAACCAAGGAUUAUCUGAAUACGGAAUCAUACCUUCUUCAAGAUUCCUGCAUACAGAUUUCCAUCUCAACCACAUGCCUUCCAAAUAUUUAACUAUGAAUUGAUUGCAACCAGUAUCUAUUUCACGACCAUUAGAAGGAAAAAAGCUCUGUGCAGGUUCACCACGAAUGAAAGAUUUCAGACUAUUUGCUCUUUCCAUCUCACACCCUUCUAGAGACCCCAAGAGAUCAACAGAGCAGCCUCCACCAUUGGACGCCUCCACAGAAGGUAAGGGAGUAACAUUGAAUUGAUCGCAGGACAUGAGUAGAGACUGUUCACAAAGAUCUACCAUGUACAUGACUACGAGUGAAUCAAAGGAAAAACAGAAAGAAAGAGAAAAGGAGGACGGGAUCCCAAAACUUGAUUUCAGGUUUUCAAAUGUUGGGGGCUGAAUGUCAUCUGGGGGAUAAAUAGACACUAAAAGUUUUCCAGUAUUCAACAUAAAGCAAAACUGUGAAUUUGAAUCUCGACGUACAAUUUUGACACAUCCAUCCAGUUUAUGUGGUUGAGUCAAGGUUUUAACUAUGCAUCUCUCUAUGAAACAAAAUAUACCGCAUAACAUUUUCCAAAUGCAUGAAAGCAAUGAAAAGACCUGAUAAAAGAAUUUUAACUGGACGAUGCUAGAUACUUCCUUUUUGUCUUCAAUAUUCCUGAUGGCUCUAUAUCGUGCUAUUUUUCUUCCCUGUGCGAUGGAUCCAAUUGGUAACUUCUUCUCAAUAUCCAGAAUUAUCAUCAAAUGUUUCUUGAAGGAAGUGAAGAGUUUUCUAUCCGAAGAAAUCUUAUAAGUGAAUUUUUUCAUCAAAUUGGCCAUAGGAUAUCCAGUUAAUAGUAGUAAAAGUUCAUAGGCAUUGACAUACUGUACCCACAGCAUCACAACAGUGACAAGACGAUGCCAUGACAUUCUUGGCGAUGAAGUAAUGUGGCUAAUUCUUUGAGCAGCUAGUUUCCAAAGUUCUCUGCCAUUUCUAGAAAAUUUGUAUUCUUUAGAUGACAUUCCAUUUAUUACUGAAUAUAUGGAAACCAUAACUGGAGUAAUUGAAAGACUUAAUUCUGGAAUUCUAAGAUUCACAUCAACAAGCUGAAGAUCAUACAUUUUGCAGCGACUGAAUAUAACUUUUAAAUUCAAGAUUCUACUAAUCUGAGUUUCCCACUUCAACACAAUCUCAAGAUCAUUGCCAGUGAUGGCAAGGCAGCCAUGUGAUAAUGGUUUAAAGAUCGCAUGUAUAAGCUCAUGAAGGCAUCCAUGGUUUCGAUUUUCAAUUUUGGCACUUAGACACUUUAUGCUCAAGGAACAGUAAAAAACAUAGUUAAAGCUUGGGAACUCCAGUACAAAGUCAAUAUUAGACAUCUGUACGCAACCACGUUUGAGUAGUAGAUUUGUAGAAGCUGUUUUCAACCGGUAUCUUGGUGGAGGGUGCAGAAAACUCUUCAUAAUAUCAUGCAAAGUGACACCCUGAAAUCCAUUCAAUAACCACAGAGCGGGUAGUUAGAAUGAGGCACUGGGCUUUUUUCUUUUCUUUUCUUCUCUUCUUUUUUCUUUGAGAAGAGAAACCGAAUAAGGCACUAGGCUUAAGUGGUAAACAACAUUUUUGUUCAACAAAAGUAAUCAAAGAGUAAAAUAUUUGAAAUUUAAGAUGACGAUUUCUGAAAACCUCGAUUCAUGUUUUCAUAACCUUAAAAUAUUGAAUUUGUGAAGAUUACAUUAAAAGGAUAGCUUCAGCUUUUUCUUACCUGGAUAACUGUUUUUUAAAUCAUUUUUCAGAAACAAGGGAAUUGAAAACGAAUUCAGAGUAGUCAUAAUAUCCCUUGAUCCCAAUAAGAUAAAAGUGAAAAUAUAUUUGAUAUUAAGAGGCCUAUAAAUUCAGUUUGUAAAUAUUGAACACUUUGAACAACUCAACCGGGCAACUCACCUGUCCAUACCUUCUAGAGUUGUUGCCAAAUUGAUAAAAAUUCAAUGACAUAAAAUUUGAACUUCUUAAGUCUAACAGAAUUCGUAACAGAUAAGCAACCAAGAAAUGUGAAGCAAAUAAUACACUUCACAAUUCACGUGCUUGAGGAGCUAAAAGAUGUCAGUUAGUAUCCACACUACAUAAAACGCAAUCCCCGGCACAAUUCAAUGUCUAAAUUUGUCAGGAAAUGGAAAAAAGAAAAAGACAUCACCUCCGGAUCAAUAGCGGAUAGAUUCUUCUUCAGGAUUUCAGAAAAUGCGUUAUCUGAAUCCCGUUUUCCUCUCGAAAUCACCUCCCUGUUAAAUUCCCAACCAAGUAACCAUCCACACUUACUAGAAACCAUAGAUAUAAGUUUUAACAACACUUACAAUUCAAACGAUCACAAAAACCACGGUAGCAAUUGACUAACCUGAUAGAUAGCGUCACACGGACACCAUGUAGUUUGAUAUCGAAGGCUGGAAAGGGCCAGUAAGUGACCACAACGCUCAAGUGUUCAACAACCACCUCUUUGAAGGACAUGCUUGCCGCGGUCUCCUCAAUUAGCUCAUUGAAAGACGAAACGUUCAAAUGGAGAUCGUGGGCAUCGAUGGUGGAACGAGUAAACCCCAAAUUCAGCUGAAGGUCCGAGUCCUCUGGCAGCCAUGGAUGCAGCAGAGACACCAGCCUCCGCAGAAGAAAAUUGUGUAACCCCAUAGCUAGUACCGCUGGAACAGCAUGACGAUGUUCAAUAAUCGUAAUUGUUCCAUAUAAGAGUGAUUCCUUUCCCAGACAGCGAACUUGAAAUCGUAAAGAGAGGAUUUGGAGUACAGGAAUGUUAGGAAGAGUGAACUUGUGGAAGAAGACGUGAAGUUGCUAUUUGGUAAAUGCAACGGCGGGUAUUGUCGGAGGGACGUUUUAAGUCGACAGAUAUAGAGGACUCCAGACGAGUCUCGCGUGAUUGUCAUCUCCCGUCGCUUUGCACACGUGUCCACCGCCAUCCAGUUUUUAUCCAAUUUCAGAUAUAUGCAAACAAACUGUUUUUCAAAACAAGAAAUGGAAAGGCAACGUGUGACAUGGAGAGGCAAUAGCCCAUACGGUUGCCUUUGCUUGCCUUACAAAAUUUUAAGAUUUAAUCAACUGUAUAUGUGCCUUUUUAACAUUUACUAUUUUAAAUAACAAUGGCAUGUAACGUGGAUGCUAGCAUCAUUCUUUCAAACAACAAAAUUACUACAAAAAUAAAAUGUAUCUAUAAGGUAAAAUAAAAACUAGACAAUGUAUUUCAUUUUCAUUUUCAUUUUCUAACUAUCUCUGCAAACAUGAUUAAGUUGUGAUCGUUGAGAUGUGAGAUGAGAACAGCAUAUUCCUUUAUUUACUUAUUUACUUUUUAAAAGAGGAAGCAUAGCAUAAAAAAAAAGUAAAUAAAAGAAGUGAAGGGAAAAAGAGACACCCUUUGCUCAUAUAGUUAAGUAAUGACUUAAAACCACUUUUACAGAAACCACACUUAUGCCUUCUAUUAUUCUUUAUUCUUUAGUUUGCACUACAAUUUAUUAACUCCAGUAAAGCCCAUCUGAGUACCUUAAACACCUUCAAGUGACCAAACCUUCGUUCAUUUAUUGGUUUCUAUAUUUUAGUGUUUUCAAAACCAACACAAAUUUAUAAAAUUGAAAAAAUAACUCUUAAAACAUUUUUGUUUUUCAAAUUUGCCUAAGACCUUGUGUACAUUAAAAAAUGUUAAUUGUGCAUAACAUUGUGAGAAAUAUAUAUAUAUGAAUAAAAAGGCUUAAUUUUCAAAAAACAAAAACAAAAUUGAAAUGAUAACCAAAAUAAAUAAUUAUUUAGUAGUCCAACCAACCUUUAUCACAAGAGCAAAAGAACAGAACAAGCUUAUUUCUGAACCUGGAACACAAACACCCCCAAAAUUAUAAAGAGAGUUUAGGGCAUUGAAGGUUCCUUUACAUUCGAGAUCGCUGCAACGACUUACUACCAGCCACUUAUUUGCAGAACCUUGUGAUCAUCACUUAACAAACUUCAACUAUACCAUAUAAGAACAAAUUCACUGAUUAAACCUUAAUAUCUGACAUCCCCCAGAUGCAUUGUAUGUCGGCUAAUUAGUAUUAGCUAGGAUUAUAAGGCAACUCAUAUACUACAAUCUUGUAUUUGUUUCCUCAGAAUUGGCAAAUAUGAAAUAUUUUUAUUGCUUCUUGGGAGAAAAAUUCCCAAUUCCAUUCUGGUGUUACUGAAGUAGUUUCCUCUGACAUAUUUUCAAAUAACAUACACAACAAUUAUCAAUGAGUCAAAUUACAACCCGUAGAAAAUAAUGUCAUAAAGACAACAGGAUGUGGGAAUACAGCAUCAAGCUACUGAGAUCCAGCUUCGUCUUUCUUCUCUGACAAGUACCUAUUGGAAUGUAACUUAUGUCAAAAAAAAAAGGCUUAUUGCUUUGCCAAAAGAAACGAAACAACUGCACAGCCACAAUUAACGUGGACAUACUCACACAGUUAAGCUGGGACGUAACAUGUUAAUGCACAUGCUAAUACUGAAGUCUUGGUUAAAAAAAAUACUAAAUAGUCUUGAUAGUGUUAAAAAAACGAAUCUUCAGUGUGACAAAAAACAAAUGUUUUGAUAAAUUCUCGUCCAAAAACAUGAUACAAAACAACAGCCAGAUACUGUUUUGCCAACAACCAAUGCCAUAUGAUAACUUAUUUUGGCCAAAGACCUUCCCAGCUAGGGAGACGUCAGUGGGGUUAUCAAGAAUAAAAUUGAAUGAAGUUGAUUAGUUCGUUAUUUACCCUUGAGCCUUUGCCCAACGUGAGAAUUGAUACAACUGUACAGUCUCAUUUGAGGCAUGACAAGCAAGAAGUAGGUAAUUGCGGGGUUGUACCAUCCACGCAAAUCUCAUGAACAGUGCUGAAUAGACGCACAUUGCUGCAGUGACAAGGGCAGAUGUUCCCACUUAGACCAAACUAAAAGACAAGCUAGAUAAAUGAGUUUCAACAUAGAUACACUCAACCUGCUGUCAUGUUGCCAGAAAUCAUUUCUGGUGGCUUGUUCAUGUCUGCUAACCCCUGUUUGAGUCCACCAACAUGAUCAAGACAAUUGAGAACUAAGAAAAACAAUUAAAUGAUAAGCAACAUAGAAAGCAUGGUAAGACAGAUACUUAAAUUGAAGUCAAACAUACAGCAGCCACGAAUCCCCAGUUGGCAACAGGUCCCCAAAAAUGAGUAGUUUUUGGACCAACAGGGCUGUUCAAGAAUGCUCGGAAUGAAGCCAUUCUCUGAUUUCUACAAAAAUAAAUAAGAACAGAUUAAUAGACCAUAGAAUUCAAAAUUCAUGAAACAUCAUGUUAUGGUGAGACAAAAACAAUGGAUAGAGAAACACAUUUACGAUUAUGACCAACCAAGGAAUAAUUCACCAUCCAACACAUUUCUGCCUCUAAAAUCUUUAACCGAAUAUGUAAAUGAUACAUCAUUUGAACUCCCAUUAUCAACCAUUUCGGUCAAAAGCCUAUCAAUACAUGAAAACUGUUGGCUAUAACUCUUUUUUAAUAAUGCAGAGCAACAAAAUAUUGCAUGAGAUACACUUGUUUGAAAGCUUUAGAAACGUGGCAAGUGAAAGGAAACUCAAUCAAGUAACAUAUGAAUUUGAAGAUUUUUAUUCUUACAAGCAAUAAAAAUCAUAUAAAUUCCUCCAUAUUUUUUCUUACAUGAAUAUAUUCAGAAAAUUCUUCCACUUAUUUCUUUCUCCAGGUUACUCUAUUUUUAUACUAAAAGUCUUUCAAGUAUGUCUUUUUCAUCUAUCCACAAAAUUAUAUAUAAUCUAAUUGUAUUUUUAUACGUAUUGAUGUUUGCUUUUGGUGAAUCUGUCCGUUUGUGGCCUAAUUUUGGACAGAAAUAUCGAAGGAAGAUAAUUAGAUUUGUGAGAAAUUGAGAAUAUCUUACUCGGGGAAGUUUAUGUAUAUCCACUAUUUUCUUUUUUCAGUAUCUAUAUAACUGUUAUUCGACUGUGGCAUUUCUACAAACAGAAGCGCACCAGGUUGGGGGGUUUGAUUACGACGGAGCUAUUCUUGAUCUUCGUUGAAGUUUAAUUUUACAGCAAAAACAAAAUUCACCAAAAUUUCCCACACCUUCCACAGAAUCAAAAGGAGAACUAAGAUAGACCCAGAAUCCAGUUUCCCCGCAGCAAAACGUAUCCCUAGAGAAAAAUCAGUCCCCCCCCCCCCCCCCCCCCCCAAAAAAAACAAAAAAAAAACAAAAAAUUAAGUACCUGGAAAUACCUAAAAGGAGGGAAGUGAAAGACCUAAAAAACACUUCCAAAACCAAAUAAAAAAUGAAUCAUUCAAGAAGAUGGCAUUUUACAAUCAGGUGAAAAUCCUUUCCUUACCCAGUUUCAGAGUACAAAACUGAAUCCAUAAUUUCACAUUACAAAGAACAGAUUAUAUCUCCAUAGUCCACCAUACCUGGAGAAGACGAACGUCGGAGGACAGUCAGCAAUUCGAUGGAGAUCUGGCCAAGAGAUAAUGGAGAACCGCUAGAGAAUUUUGACUUUGAAACCACCCAAAAGCAGAAGAUGAAGAACGAUAGCAGGCUAUUUUUCUUUUUCUUUUUCUCUCUCUUCCUUUUGUACCAAUUUUUUUUGCUUGGGUUGGGUUAGUUAGGUUGAAACACCGUUUAGAUACUCAAUUGUAAAAUUAACCCAAACAACCCUCGUCAAGAAAAUAGAUUCCAUCCAACUCAACAACCAUAUAUGAGUUGGUUCGGUUAUUCGGAUUGUAUAUUUAAGAAUUGUAGGAUGUAAAUCAAAUAUCUUGAUUUCAGUUCAAUUUUGAGAUUCAUGAUUACUUUUGUCUUUUGCUAAUUAGUAUUUUGAAUUUCAUGGAUAUUUUCAUCUUUUCUUAAUUAAUAUUUUCUAAUUAUAAAAUUUGACUGACCAUCUUUACAAUUUUAAAACUUGUUUUUUUUUAUUGUUUAAAUUUUGUUAUUACUCUUCUCAGCCCAAAUUUUGGAAGGAGGCUGCAAUUCAACUCAUGGUAGCACAUGAUGGAUGAUUCAUUGAGAAGGCGGUAACAGUCUCAAUUUUUAUCUGUUUUUUCUUAAACACAACUCGGUUACCAUUGUUGAGCCUUUUGUUUUCUGGUUCUCUCAACUUUUUCUACAAUCUUUAUUAAUGUUACUUCCAAAAACAAACUAAUAACAUUUCUGGCAUAUUGUUACAGAUCAAGUUUGUAUAUAGACAGAUAAAUUCAUGUGUUCUGUAUUCUUAAUAUGAUUUAACUAAAGUUUGAAUUGCAUAGUUUGGUUUUAAAGUAAAGCAUUGGAUUGUAAUUUUAUUAACUGUUUUUCAAUAUUUUGGGUUUGAAUUCAAAUUGUGCUUCCUGUGUUAUGUUACUAUUCCAGCUAACCAAUCUUUCUUUUUUAUGCAUGUGAUUAUUUGAGAGAUAUUAAUCACGCUUAAAUCACUCUACCCACGAGUGUACUAAAAGAAUCAGUUUUAUAAAACUGUGUGUCCUGAUCUGCACAAUCAAAUGCUUUUUUUUCAAGGACACAAUUGUACAAAAACUCAAUCCCUUUCAAUCCUUACAAUCAAAUACUUCUUCAAUGUCUAUUUUCAAAAUCUAACUCUUUCUUUUAAUCUAUAUUCUUCCACCACCUCAUUUACAAUUAGAAAUUUGCCUACUUUAGAAGCUAGAUAUAGUAGAUGACAUUACUUUUUUCAAUCUUUCUGCUUAUACUUAGCUAAAUGUAAAAAAAUUUAAUUGAUUGGUUUGAAACCCUUUACUGAUGUAAUCAAUUCCUUCUUCUGAAUCAGAUAUAUGAAGUUUUCUUUCAAAUAUACUGCCAAAACUUCAUAAAAAUCUUUUUUUUUGGAAGAGUAGAGAUGCUUAGAGAUUAAUGAGGUGGUGGAAUAGUAUAGGUCAAAAGAAAUGGGACAAGACAAAUGUUCUUCCAUGGCUCCUUUUAUACAUAUAGCAUAUAAAGAAUGUUUCCUUUUUCCAAACAGAAACAUUAAAGAACAAUAGUUAUACAGAGAGAGAGAACUUCCAAGUUCAAAAUUCAAAGUACAGUCUAAAUAGGACAAAAAAACAAUCAAUAAACCAAAUUAGAUAAUAUUCUAUAAAAUCAAAGAACAGUACCACCCAACUUAACCAAAUUUGAGGUAUAUGAUAUUUGAACUUUGUAGAUGGACACUUGAGAAGGGAUAGAUUAGGGAGAGAAGAAGGCAGGCCUCCAACAUUCAAGUAAAGUGAACUGUGAUAUUAGAAAAUCUGGUUUAAAAUUUUCAGAUGAUGAAAUCACCGAAUCUCCUUUGUGCAAUGAUCAGAUUUCACACAAAUACGUAAAAUCCUGGUUGGACCAUCCGCAUAUAUUUCGUACCCAACCUUCAUAAUCUCCGAGUCUCUAAAGUUUCCAGAUAUUGAUUUAUGUGUCAAGCCUCCUUGUAGCCUAGACUUGAAUAAAGGUUUCCAUGUGCGCAACUUGGCCAAGUUAUUAAUUUCACGAAGGCUCGAUCUGCAUUUUUUAGUAGCUUUUGUGUGGUUUGAGGUUGAAACUUGUUGAUGGGUUCCGAGAAUAUUGUUGAACCCAAGUUUGCUGAUUAGAUUCCAUGAUUUCUAGAUAUUUGAGAUACUUAAUUUUUUCCGGUGUUAGAUAAUCCAAACCCCACAAUGGGCGUAAUGAACUCACCGAUUCAACACCAACACUAAAAAAACACACACACACACAAAUGCUUCAGUUCAAGCUCGCUUGGGCAUCAAUCUUAACUUAGGACAAACAUAUAUAUGCAAGGAAAUAAGCAUGGGAGAAAGAACUCUACAGGUCUAAACUCUAAUGAUCCAACCCAUACCCAUAAGUUUACUUCAUUACAAUUUUUCUUUUUUCUAUUUUGGUCUCUAUAUUUUAGAUAAUUGUUUUUAAUUUAUUUAUUUUGGACCUUACUAUUUUAAAAAAGUUAUUAUUUUGAUUGAACCCAACUAUCCACACCCUCAAAUUUAUCAAACUCUCUAUAUAUUGUCUAGGUUUUUUCUCCAUAUUUUAUAAAUAGUGUCAAUUUUUUCCUAUAUUUCAAAUUUUAUCUUCUUUUCAUAAUGUCAUUUAAAAAAAUGUCAUGCAGAUUUUAUGUUGUAAUUUUAAAAGCAAUACAUUAACACAUUUUAAAAUGUUAGCCUUUAAAUUUUAAAUGGAGUAUUUAAUACCCUUAACCCAUUAAGCUAUUGCUGUUGAUCGAACGUACAAUUUUGGCAUAAAAUUCAGCCGCAUGAUCAGAGCAAAUAUUGUGGUAAUUAUAUUUUUAUUGAAUUUUGAUAAUUUAGUUUACUCAAUCCAACCCUGUUUCGGUCUAAUAAAUAAAUCGGCUUAAGCUCAAAUACAAAAAAUCAUAUGAGCUAAGUCCAAGAAGCAAAUAGGUUAAAGCCCAAGCCCCACAAACCAAUAGACUCAAAUUCAAGUUCAAUAAACAAAUGAGCCCAAACCCAAAUAUAAAUCCAUGAAAUUUCUCUGUAAAUAAGACAUUUGUCCCUCUUUGAUUAGACUGAAACUUACAACUACAGCAUGCUAAACACAUCAAAUAAGUAAAUAUUAAAGAUCGUAUUAACAAUAUUCGUCAACAUAUUAAAGUUCAAUUCUACGAAUUACAUUUAUUCAAAAUCUCGUGUGAACGUGUAUUUUAAAAAAUCAUAAAUACUUUUAAUCUUAAAAAAAUAAGAAAAAAUUUCGUUGUUAGGCCAAUUUUCUCACCAACCAAAAGUUUAAAUGAUGAAAUUCUACAAAAUUCUAAAAUAAAAUUUAUUAUGUAAAAUGUAGUAAAACAGUAAUUAGCAAAUAAAAAAAAGUAUCAACCCACGGGACUUUUAAAAAUACUCUUAAAUUUUUAAAAUUUUAAAAAUACUCUUAAAACUUUUUUAAAAAAAAAAACCUACAGUGACCAUUAAUAUCCUCAUACUUCUUAAUUUUGUAAAUAUACAUAAGUAAAAGAGACAUUUUUAAAAAUAACAAAAUAAAAUAAAAAAUUUACAAGUUAUAGUAAAAUUUUAGAUUUUAUGACUGAUAGUUUUCUAUCACUGUUGCAUAUCAAUGACUAUUGAUGAUAGAAUUUGUUAUAGGUGGUAAACAUUUUAUAAAAUCUAUAAUUUAAGAAAAUUUUCCUAAAUAAAAUUGCAAUAUUAAAUUUGUUAAAAAUAAAAAGAAUAAUAGAAGCACGUAAGUAUUUUAGGAUUUAAAUGUUUUAAUAAAAUUGUAACUUAACAGUUUAGCGUGUCUUAAUAACCAACCACAUUUUUAUGUAAACUUUUUAUAACACACCGUUUAAACACAAAUUUGCUGCACUUGAAUUUUCAUAAUAUAAGAAUAAAUUUUUAUCCCGUAAAUUUGUGAGGUUAACGUAACUUAAAAGCUUGGUUUUGAUUUUAGUUAUGGACAAAUUUGGUGUAAAAAUUAUAUUGAAUAUACAUAUUUUUAAUUUUUCUAAAGUUCAAUAGAUUUACGUAAAUUUUCAAAAGUUUGGAGUAUUUUCAAGUUUAAAGACAUUUAACAUAUUUAUUUAUUUUUUAUUUUUCUGUAUAUAUAGUUUAGCCUAAAAAGUUAUAAAAACCUAAUCGCGAUCUCCUCCCUCCUUUCUCCCACCUCACUAUUUAUGCCGUCUCCGCCUCCUCAAGUUAACAGUCGCCGUCUCCAUCUCACAUACAUAGUUUUCAGUUCUCCUUCUCACAGUCUCCAUCUCUUCUCACGAUCUCACCCUUAAGUUCUUAGCCUACUCCUCCAGGUGCUUAUUUAUAUUUUCCUUAUGUUUUUCUCCAUUUAUUUGUUACUUCGUUCUAAACCAUGUUUAUGAAGUAAAGAAAUCUUUUGGAUUGCUGUUGGAAUUCUUCUUUCAAUGCAUCAAAUUCACUUUCAUUAUUAAGAAAUUAUUUUCAAAUUGGUGUGUACUGUAGAAGGAAAAUGAAAAAAAGAAGCAUCUGGUUUGCUAAAGAGAAUAUUGGGUUCAUAAUUUUUUUUUAUUAAUUUUUUCUUGUAUUGCAGAUAGAUUACAACUUGUUUUGCUCUGAAAUUUUGCCAUGACUUUACUUGAAAUCAUCAAGCAAGCCUCGGCCUGCUCGGAUUCCCUUGAUUUCCAGUCUGACUACCCCAUUCUCCUCAAUCCAGACGAAAUUAUAACCAAUUUGAAAUCCAAAGUUGUUGAACCAGAUCCUAUUUCUCUUAUCAAUCCCAUCAUUGGAUGGAAAGUUUCUGAAAACGACUGCAAGGUGAUUGAUUUGGGGAAAAAAUUCCACGAAAAUCUCAAGCAGAAGCUCAAAAACCGACACUUCUCAAAGCCUGAGUUUAUAAACCUUUUAAAUGCUUUUCUUGUAAAAAUGAAGGAAAGGGUCGGAAUUGUAGUUAGUGUUAGUUCAUCAGACAAUUGUUACACUAAGGUUUUGAUUGAGAAACUUGGGUUCCUGAUGAGCAAAGACGUUGGAGGCUUGGUUUUGGAUACAUGUAUUGCUUUUGAGGACUGGGAAUUGGUGGAGACUUUUGUUGUUAAUAAGCUUGUUAAACAUGCAUCUUAUUCAAAUUUGAUUUUGAAACUUGUCGCUAAGAAGAGGUCAGAUCUACUAUGUCUCUGUAUCAAGCAAGCAUCAGAUUUUGGUCCUGCUGAUUUACACUGCAUUCUGAAGUACUUUCUUUGCCCCUCCAAAGAGGCUUAUGCCAGUAUGUCUAAUGUGAGGAAGGAAUGGGAGGACCAAGCAUUGCUAGCCAUUGAGAAUGCUAGCGAUAAAAAUCUCAAAGGCAAGAAGUCUAGUCUGGCAAAGGAGGCUGCAAUUCAGCUCAUGGUAGCACAUGAUGGGUUCUCAACCCAGGAGUUGUGUUUGCAUUAUCUAUUGGCAUCUCCCAAUCUUGAUGAAGUAAUUCUUGCGUCUGCACUCAGUAAGUUGAAUCGUGAAGAGAUGGUUCAUUUGAUUCAGUACCUGAGGAAAUGGUUAAAGAAAUAUGAGAGAUUCCCUCAGGCAGUUUCUUGUCCAAAAGCAUCGGUUGUGUUGGGUUUGAAGGCUUGUGAUUGGGUUCCCAAACUUGAUGAUGUUGUCAGAUAUCUUGGACUAGUGUUGGACGUGAACUUUUCAUCAUUGGUGUUGCAUCCAGAUUUUCACGAGGAGCUGAAAAUCAUGGGGGAAUUGGUUAAUUCUCUAGCCAUGGAAUCAAAGCUCUGCUGUUUUCUCGCCAAUGCAGCAGAAAAUUUGAGAAACAGGAGCGUAAUGUAAGUCGUGAGAAAAAAUUGAAUGUAGUGUUACACCAUGUUUUUUAUUGUUUAUUUGAGCGCAACUAUAUAGCAUCGUUGAAGAAUAUUUGGAGAUUGUUUUUGUAAACGGCUUUUUUUCCUAGAGAGUAAAAUAGGAAAAACAAUUCGAUUAACCAUUGUUGAGUUUUUUGUUUUCUGGUGGUUCUCUCAACUUUUGUUCUACGACCAAGUUAUUAUUUUCUUCGAAUAAUUGGUGAAUAGGAAAUUAAGUGAACAAAAUGAUUUCCAUCUCCCAUCCCCAACUAAUAAGAAAUUAAGCAUACACAUCCAAAUCUAAUUCGUAAUACUAAAAUACAGAUAAGAACUAAAAGAAAGAACCCACGAAUAUUAUAUUCUACACAGUGAACUAAACUUCAUCUUCAAUCCUCAAAUUCCUCCAUUUCCAUUUAGAUUUUACAUCACAGAUACCUUCUGAUAUUCCCCGAAACGAAAUCAUCUCCAUCCAUAUAGUAAAAUUGCAUUUCUCGUGAAUUUUUGUCAUUUUUUGUUAUUUUGGAAGUAAUUUGUGCGAAUUUAUAGUUCUUUUUCUUAUUCUUAUAUGUAAUUUUGUUAGCAAUAUUUGCUCUUUUUUCCUUCAAAUCAUAAAAGCCUUGAAACCAUUGACUUCGAAUUAGUCCGUAAUUUUGUCGAUGUAUAUUCCUUUUUCAUAAUUGAUUGCCUAUCAUUCCAUUUGACCUUCGUGGUUAGAAUGCACGUCUAUGAUAUGUAAGGAUGACAGCAAUUUAUUGAAAUUUAAAAAAUAGCUACUUUUAAAUAUAACAAAAAUGAAUAAAAAUACUUAUAAAAUAGAGCUAAUGGAUAUCACUAGAUUACUACUUGUAUCAUGAUCUAUUUGUAAAUAUUUUCAGCUUUUAGAUCUUAUUUUAGUUAUUCAGAUUUACCCUUUAAAUAACUAAGAAAUUCAAUAGAUUUUGAGGAUUUAGAUUAUUUGAUUUUCCAAUUUAGCAAUACAACGUUUGUAUCAAUAGUAAUUACACAAAAGUAAAUAUCAAUAAAAUAUAAAACAUAAAUAUUGUCAAGCCAUCAUGUUCUGGAAAUGCUUUUAAAUAAAGGGCUUAGUUUGCUACAAGUUUCAUUCUCUGAAUGUUCGUAUUUUUUCCUCAAGGAAUUAGUUAUGCUUUGGCAUAAUGCACGAAACUUCAAAUGCCUCAAGUCUUUAUUUUGAUGGCAAUUUCACACGGCAGAAUAAUCUUUUUUGAUGCAUAAAGGUAUAAUGCAGUUUUAGACCAGAAGCCAGAUACUCAAAAAAAUAAACUAGAUAGUACACUCCAAAGAAUGCAGUACAUGUUAAAUAAACUGGUGACACCAUCUUGAUGUAUCGACUAGGAAUAAAAGAAAGUAUGAUAUUAUGACGAUCAUCAUAUUGGUUAGUACAAAACAAAAUUUUGAAGUAUAGAUAGUGGAAGUUUCAUACAUCAAUAGGAAAUAUUUUACAUUUUUCAUUGAAGUUAGGCCUUUUGAUUCCUGAAAGCCAUGUCAUUCUGCAAUCCCCUUCCAUUUUGAGAUCCUUACUUGAAACUGUCUGGCCACCAUUAGAACUUUAGACAUUUUGUUUUAUCGACUGAUAGAGUCAAGGUAAGGGGAGAUCG
Molecule: long non-coding RNA, 80971 nt
Filed under: Cucumis sativus (cucumber)
Lineage: Eukaryota; Viridiplantae; Streptophyta; Magnoliopsida; Cucurbitales; Cucurbitaceae
Description: long non-coding RNA (CSAT_LNC002475)
Source: RNAcentral